AAGGCCAAAGUGACCUCCGCAAGCUUCUGUAUGAAAAAAAGUAAGGAUAGAGGUUACCUCGAUUUCUGGAACACAUCGUCUUAUUAUCUGAUCAGAACAGUGUUUCCACAAGUAUGGGUCGUCUCAAAUGUAAUAUCGAGCUUCCCGUCUAAGCUUGUCCUUCACGGAAUGUGCUAACUCAGUGGGCAACGAACCCGUGGUUAAGAGAUUUACUAUAUCCGCAUACCAUAGGUAAUGAGCCUCGGUCGAAAAUAAGCUCUCAUCAGGGAACUCAUCCUUUACAGGGGUGUCAUCAUCAGGUAUUUUUAACCUAAUCAAGUGGUUGGCUACCAAGUUUUUGCAUCCCUUUUGUCACGAAUCUCUAUUUCAAAUUCUUGGAGUAGUAGAAUCCAUCUAAUGAGCCUUGGUUUUGCUUCAUUCUUUACGAUCAAGUACUUGAGAGCUACAUGAUUAGAAAAAUAAUCAUCUUAGAUCCCAAUAAAUAUGAUCAAAAUUUAUCCAAAGCAAAUACAACAGCUAAGAGUUCUUUUUCUGUGGUGGUGUAGUUGCUUUGUGCAGCAUCUAGGGUUUUUGAGGCAUAGCAAAUAACAUAAGGCUCUUUGUCUAUCUUUUGCCCUAACACAGCCCCCAUACUAUGUUCACUUGCGUCGCACAUAAUUUCAAAGGGGUAGUUCCAAUCUCGUGCUUGUACUAUAGGAGCGGACACCAACUUCUGCUUAAGUGUAUCAAAAGCCUCUUUUCAUUUCAGGCCGAACUCGAAUUUCUUAUCUUUCUGCAAUAACUCACACAACUAUUCAGCUACUUUAGAGAAGUUAUUUAUAAAACGACUGUAAAAUCCUGCAUGGCCAAAGAAAGAACGUAUCUCCCUUACAGUAGAGGGAUAUGGAAAAGAAUUUAUAAUGUCAGUUUUGGCCUUAUCGACCUCAAUUCCCUCAGCUGAAACUAUGACCUAGAAUCAAACCUUUGUCUACCACAAAAUGACACUUUUCAUAAUUCAAGACAAGAUUAAAUUCUAUGCACCUAUUUAAAAUUAUCGUGAGGUUUUUUAGGCAUUCGUCAAAACAAUUUCCAUACACAGUAAAAUCAUCCGUAAAAACUAAGACAAUUUUUUUCAACAUAUUCAGAAAAUAUACUCAUCAUACAUCUCUAAAAGGUGGCUGGUGCGUUACAAAGUCCAAAUGGCAUCCUUCUGUAUGCAAAUGUGUUGAAUGGGCACGUAAAAGUGGUAUUUUCCUGGUCCUUUGGAGCAACUGGGAUUUGGAAGGAACUCGAGUAUCCAUCAAGAUAACAAAAGUGAGUUUUACCAGCUAAUCGCUCAAGCAUUUGAUCUAUAAAAGGAAGAGGGAAAUGAUCUUUUCUAGUGUAAGAAUUCAACUUCUUGUAAUCAAUGCAGACACGCCACCCAUUCUGCACUCUAGUUGGUACCAAGUCACCUUCAGCAUUUUUCUUUACUGUCACGCCCAUUUUAUUGGGCACAACUUGUACCAGACUUACCCAUCUACUGUUAAAAAUGGGGUAGAUUAUGUCAGCACCUAGCAGCUUGAUUAUCUCUUUUUUUACCACCUCCAUCAUAUUCGGGUUCAACCGUCUUUACGCCUCUUGUCUUGGCUUAAUGUUUUUUUUCCAAAUAGAUUUUGUGUGUACAUGUCAAAGGGCUUAUCCCUUUUAAAUCGGCAAUGGUCCAACCAAUCGCCUCCUUAUAAUUUUGUAGUACUUGGAUCAAACUUUCUUCUUCGAGCUUAGAGAGUUUAUUUGAAACUAUAAUCGGUAGGGUAUUACCUUUCCCAAAAAAUGCAUACUUGAAAUGUUCGGCAAGCGGUUUUAAUUCCAAAUCUGGAGCCUGCACAACAGAAGGUAAAAGUUUAGUAUUUGAUGAAGAUGAUAAUUCGUUAACAGAUUCAUAAUCAUUAACUAUAAAUUCAAAUUUAUCUUCAUAAAUGGACUCAAAAGUCUCCUCUACUAAAGAGUCAAUUAUGUCGACACGGUUUACGCUCAAUAUUUCGCUUGGGUGACUAAUAGCAUCGUAAAUAUUGAACUUCACGAUCUCCCCAUCAAAUUUCAUCGUAAGAGUUCUGCUUGGAAUGUUGAUUUUGGUGCUAUCGGUACUAAGGAAAGGUCAGCCCAAUAAGAGGUCUGAAGAUCCAGGAGUGCUAUCCUUCUCCAUUUUUAUCACAAAAAAAUCUACAGGGAAAAUAAGUUCGUUAACUUUUACUAAUACGUCCUCAAGGACUCCUUCGGGAUGCACAAUAGACCUGUCUGCCAACCGAAUGAUAACACUGUUUUCAUCAAAAAACUUGCAUUAAAUGAUUCAUAUAUAGAAUAAUGCAUGACAUUUAUUGAGGCCCCUAAAUCACACAUAGCCUUCUUAAUUCCCAAAUGGCUUAUCUUGCAUGGUAUUGCAAACAUGCCCCUAUCUUUACAUUUUGCUGGCAUUUUCUGCUGUAACAUUAUAGAUAUAUUCUCACGAGCACUUACAUUUUCAUUACCUGUUAAUUUUCGUUUGUUGGUGCAGAGUUCUUUAAGGAACUUGGCAUACCGCAGAAUUUGUCUGAUGGCAUCCAAUAGUGGUAUAUUGAUCUCGACAUUUCUGAAUGUUUUGAGGAUCUCCUUAUCUUCUUUACCAUUUCGACAUUGAUUUAGUCGUCCUGGAAAUGGAGGUUAAAUUUUCGGCAAUGAGGGCUUCGCUCGGACCUGUUUGUCAUUUUCAGGAUUUUUUUGGGCGAUUUCUUGGUCAAGAUUCCUGCUAGGAAUUGGUUACAGUACCUUUCCACUUUGCAGUGUCAAUGUAUUCACGUUUUGUCUCGGGUUCGGUUCUAUUUGUGAUGGCAGCUUCCCUUUAGAACUUAUUUUCUCAAUUGAUGUGGUCAAUUCUCCUAUAGACACCUCAGUUUUUUGUUGAAAAUCAAGCAUAUUAGCUGCUAAUUUAUUGACCAAAGUUUCCACAGAAUUACCUUAAUCUCGUGGCUAUUGUGGAACCUGAUUUUGGUAUGGAUGGUUAUAUCGUGGAUUGGCCCCAUAACUUAAGUUAGUGUAGUCCCUCCAUCCUGGUUGUAGGUGUUAGCAUAAGGGUCGUAUCGCCUUUGUGGUGGCCUAGGGAAAUUUCCCACAACAUAUAAAUGAGCCAUAGUAUCAUCAUACAAACUGGGACAUGCAUCAGUUGUAUGUUCAGGUGUAGCACAUAUUCCACAUACUCGGGCUGGUUUGGCUUUUUUCUGCAACAAGAGAACUCACAAUAUUAGUAAGUCUAUCAACUUUAUCUUCUAAGAUUGAAUUACUUAGCUGGUGAAACCUUCUAAGAGGUUCAAGAUUGGCUUGGAAUUGUUGAGUAUUUGCAGGCAUCGUGGAGAUCAAGUCUCUUUUUUGUUAGGGAGUCAUGUUGACCAACGCUCCUCCACUAGUGGCAACUACCAUGUUCAUCUCUAUGGUUUUCAAGCUUUCAUAAAAAUAUUGGAGAAGAGAUUGUUCCGUUAUAUCGUAUUGUAGGUAGCUCGCACAUCGCUUCUUAAGUCGCUCGUAAUAGUCGUAAAGAGACUCUGGUUCUUUUUGCCUUAUUCCAACUAUCCCCCUUCUUAACUUAGCUGCUCGUGACACUAGAAAAAAACCUGUUAAGAAAUAAACGAGAAAGAUCAGCCUAAGUUGUAAUAUAUCCAGGGUGUAAAUAAAACAAUCAUUCCCUAGCUGAAUCUACUAGGGAAAAAGGGAAAGCACACAAUUUAAUUUGAUCCUCAAUUACCCUCUGAGGUUUCAUACUAAGGCAAACCAUAUGAAACUCUUUCAGAUGUUUGUGAGGAUUUUCAUUUUGCAACCCACGAAAAGUUGGCAGAAGCUGGAUUAAGCCUGACUUCAAUUCAAAAUCAGUAUCCAUAGUAGGAUACGCAAUGCACAAUGGCAGUUGUUCUGCUGGAGCUUCGGCCAGUUGCCGAAUUGUUUGAGUCAUUGGUUGAUGUGCUCGAUUCGGGUUUUCGUUAACCCUAGUGUUAAGCACUUCUUCUGAGGAAUCGACUUCUACAUUUUCGCGUUCAAAUGUUUGAGUAGGGUUUUCGUUAACACUAGACUCUACUUCGUCGCCGAUUCCAAUUUCUGGUGGUGGGUUACUUUGAGUCCCAACCACUCCUGACUAUUUUUUUCGUAACUUUGUUUCCUUGCGAUUGGCUCUUGCAGUCUUUUCUAUCUCCGAAUCAAAUGCAAGAGUACUUGGAGUAGAUCUGGUUAUAUGAAACAAAGAACAAGAUUAGUACGUUACCGAUCCCCAGCAACAGCACCAAAAUUUGAUGCUGUCGUUAAGAGCACCAAAAUAUCCUAUCCCUAUAAAAUAUUGAAAAUAAUAAAAAUAAUAGUAUAAGGAAGUAGGAUCAAAUCCUUAGGGACCGGAUUUGCACAAUUGCUUGUUCCUUGAAAUCCUAGUCAGAAUCGUGCCCAAGAAAACCUACGCACCUGGAAAAGAAAAAAAAAACAAAAUUAAAAGUUUUGAUAUGGAAAAAUAAAAUAAAAAGAGAAUUAAAAGUUUUGAUUGGAAUUUCGAAAAUUAAAAAUAAUAGAAAUAAAUAAAGUUGAGGAAAAGGUGUUCUUAUGGAGAGAUUCCAGCCUCCGAUUGUCUCGAUCCACCUUAGAUUCAAUCCUCGGCUUUUAGGUGAUUCUUCUCAAACAAAAUAAGCCAGUUAUAGUGGAAGCGGACGCCUACGACCACCAGCUCCAAGAAUUUAGACUUACAAUUUUAGCGAAACCUAUGUAACAACCCGAUUUAGGGCCUAGUCGGAACAGUGGUCUCGGGACCACAAAUUCAAAUAUUUAAAAAUUAUUUUUAUUAUUUUAUGAGGUUAUAGCACAAUUAUAUUAGUGCAUGAAAAAUUUGGUGAGUUAAUUUUAAUAUUUUCAAGCCCGAUUGCGAAAAAUGACUAAAUCGCAAAAAAAGCAAAAGUUACAUUUUAGUACCCAAAGGUGCCAAGUAGCUAGAGAAUUAAAAUUAGGAGUACUUAAAGGGCAUUUGGACCCUAUUGGAAUGCGUUGGCCGGCCAGAAGACAAGAAAAUGGGUGGUCAACGUGUUAGGUAUUUUGAUGACCUCAUAUGUAAUAAAUUAAUGCCUAAAAGCCUAGUUUUUUUUCCCUCACUCCUUCUCCCUUGUUGACCAAAAAUAUCAUCAAAUAUUGAGGUUUGAAAGCUCAAAAAUCUUCAGCAACUUAAAGCACUCAUAAGUAAGUGAUUUUAGUUAGUUUUCUUCAAGAUCUUUACAUAUUUUAGACCCUUAAAGCAUGAGCUUUCAAAUGAGGGUGAUAUCUUACAAAAUGGUCAAGAGUUUAGGAUUUUUCCAUGGAUGUAUUUGUGGUAUAUGCUGAGUUUUUAUGGAGGAAUAUAAGUCCUAGUUGUGUUAUAAACAACUUUUAUGAAGGGCGUUAAUAUGAAAACACCUAAAGGGACUAUUUUGCAUAAGAUACAAAUUAAGUAAUAAGUAUGUGAAAUAGUGAGAAUUUGGGGUUGCUCUAGUAGUAAAAAUAGUUUAGCUAGGCUUGAAAUAUGAAGAAAUUCGAUAAAAAUCAAAUUUUGAGCAUGGGGGUAAAAUGGUCAUUUUGUUAAAGUCUAGGGGCAAAAUGGUCAUUUUAUCAAAGAUGUAAAUGUUGGAUAGCCUAAUUGUGUUUACUGACUGAAUGAGUGUAUUUUUUUAUUAUAGAUCAAUAUUUUCCAAAAUCGAGCCUCAACCAGAGCAAAGUCAAGCAAUCCGAUUAAGCCGAUUAGUCAAGUACUUUUUGUAAACCAAGGUAAGUUGUAUGUAAAUAAUACAACUAUAUUAUUAAUGCAUGUAUUUGAUUGUUAUUUGUUUGAUAUAGCAUAAAUUUCUAGAAUUGGAACUCUAGAAUUUGAACUAAGUAUAUGUAUUUAUGAUUAAGAAAGUCGAAAGAUCCAGUAAGAACCCCAAGAAACAAACCGGAUAUUCAUGCCAUGACAUUAGGUUAUGUGAGAGCCAGUAUAAGACCAUGUCUGGGACGUGGCAUCAGCAUUGAGACAGGGCUAGUGUAAUACAUGUUUGGGACAUGCAUCAACCGCAUCAUGAUAGCCCUUAUAAGACCACGUCUGAGACAUGGCAUCGGCAUAGAGGUGAGUGCCAGUGUAAGACAUGUCUGAGACAUGCAUCAACCUCGAGGAUGUUAGCCAGUGUAAGACGUGUCUGGGACAUGCAUCGGUUAAGUUUCGUGCUAGUGUAAGACAUGUCUGGGACAUGCAUCAGUAUGUAUACAUGAGAGCCAAUGUAAGACCAUGUCUAGGACAUGGCAUCAGCCUCGAUAGAGAUAGUGUAACAGCCCUAAUUUGACCCUAGUUGGGAAGUGGUUUCGGGACCACAAAACCGAGUCAUAAAAAUAAUUAACCGUCAUAUUCUAUGUUUAUUUUAUGUGAAUAUGAAUGUGUGAAAGUUUCAUGCAUUAAUUUUGUCAUCAGUAUGUGAAAUUUUGAAGAAGGGACUUAGGUGAGACUUUUGUGAAAUAGGAUAGGUAAUUAUAAAAAGAUCUAAUUGUGCAUGAGGUUAGAAAAAUGUACUUGCAUGUCAAUUAGUCAAAAUUUUUGUUAGUGGCCGGCCAUGUUAUGGAUUUAUGUAUAAAAUAAUUAUUUUUGCUAAUAAUUAAUAUUACAAAAAUGAAAUAAUGAAUAAAGAUUAAUAAAAUAUUUGGGUGAGUGGGAGGAGAAACCAAAGUUGGUUCAUCCUCACUCCACCAUUGCUGUAACUUGAGAUUAGAAAGAAGAAAAAAAUUUCUUUGUUUGAUUUCGGCUUGGAGAAUAUUUAGAAAGAGGUAAGUACUUUGAAAUUCUUGAAAAUUUAUGUAUAAUUUUGGUGAUUUGUUCAAAUUCUAUUCAUUCCAUGAGUUAAAUUUUUGGUUGUUUGGAGGUUUGAUAUUCGGCCAAGUAGUUUGAAACUCUUGGUAAAUAUUUUUCUUUCUUUCUUUAUGUCAUUAAAAGGGAUGGUAUAUUAGGAUAUGAAGAGUGAUAAAUUGUUGUUAACUUGAAGGUUGAGAUUAGUGUAUGUUUAGAGGGAGGUGUCGAAUGUUUAUUGAGUGGUAUGGAACUGCUUGGUAAUGAUUAGCCAUUGGAAUGGCUAAUCAUGAUCAUAAUUGGUGCUAUGUAUGUCAAAUUGCUAGCUAAUCCAUGGAAACCAUGAAAUAGGUAAAAUUUACCACAAAAUAUUUUUUAGACAGCAGUAGUGAAGUGAGUCUGAAAAAUCACUAAAAAUAGCAGAAAUGGAAUUAAAUAAUGAAUAAGUUAUGGAAUGAGUCUAUUUUCAUAUGGAAGAAACAAAACAGAUAUAUGAGCUAUAUUUUAUGAGAUGUUUAAAUUUUUGUGAAACAGGGCCAGAACGAUUUCUGGAUCCCCUGUUAUAACUUUGAAAAUUCACCAUAAAUUUUACAAAGAUAAUUAUAAGUCAUGAUUUAUAUGUACAGAUUCAUUAUUGAGUCUAGUUUUAUUAGAGACAAACAGAAUAGUCAUUGAAGCUCUGUACAGGGAGAUAUCUAAUUUGUAAUACACAGAGGUCAGAUUAGUCAAACCCCGAAACAAGGGAGACUUUAACUAAUAAACUGUACUAAUUGGCCUGACCAAAAAUUCUAGAAAAAAAAUUUUUAGAUAGAUAUAUGAGUCUAGUUUCAGGAAAAAUUUACGGAACUGAAUUUCGAGUUUUGGAACUCGAGAUAUGACUUUUUAAGUGACUGUGAUGCAGUUAGCCAGCUUGUCUGGAAAAAUUUAAAAAUGAAUUGUGUGAGCUGGGUAAGUAAUGAAGUAAGUCCGUUAACACCUCGUGUUCGACUCCGACAACGGUCUCGGGUACAGGGUGUUACAUUUUAUUUGGUAUCAGAGCCAGGUUUAGUCGAUUUUAGGACUACCGUAAUAAGUAUGGGUCUAGCUAUACAUGCCAUUAUGCGUUAAUAUGAUAGUGUGGUGAUUUCUGACGAAUAAAAAUGUGUUUUCGUAUAGAAAUGGAUUCUGAUCCUGAUCGAGUAGUAGCUGACGAUAUUGAGAGUGUAGCGCCUGCUCCCGCGCACGGGACAGCGCCGAUUGACUCUCAAUUAAAUGCAAGUAAUCAAAAUGAUGAGGCAAAACAAGCCUUCUAUGCUAUGAUGAACGACUGGUUUACCCAAUAUGUUCGAACUAAUCCGGCUGUUGCACAACCCUCACCCCCGACUAAUACAAACCCUGCACCAGUAAUAUCUCCUGUAGUUGACCCGUCGAGGUUGAACAAGCCCCCGAUUGAUAAAAUUCGGAAGCAUGGGGCUACGGAGUUCAAGGCUACUGACAGUGAUGAUGCUGAACAGGCUGAGUUUUGGCUUGAUAAUACCAUUCGUGUGUUCGAUAAAUUAUCGUGCACACCUGGUGAAUGUUUAAAAUGUGCUAUAUCUUUGUUACGUGAUUCUGCCUACUAUUGGUGGAAUACUUUGGUUUCCGUCAUGCCGAGAGAACGGGUUACUUGGGAAUUCUUUCAAACCGAGUUCCGCAAGAAAUAUAUCAGUCAAAGAUUCAUCGAUCAGAAACGGAAAGAAUUUCUUGAGCUUAAGCAGGGUUCUAUGUCAGUUACUGAUUAUGAACGAAAGUUUGUCAGACUUAGUAGAUACGCUCGAGAAUGUGUUUCGUCCGAGGCUAUCAUGUGUAAACACUUCGAGGACGGGUUGAACGAAGAUAUAAAACUGUAUGUUGGCAUUCUUGAAAUUAGAGAAUUUGUAGUACUUGUCGAACGAGCUUGCAAAGCCGAAGAGCUCAGUAAGGAGAAAAAAAAGCUGAAGUGGAAGAAAGAGAGUUUCGUAAGAGAUCUUCGGGAAAGCCCUUUCAACAAUCAUUGAAGAAAUUUAAAAAUGAACCAGGCCGAUCUAAAGACACCUCGGGCUUUUCCAGACGAGAUCGUGAUCGACCCCCUGUGAGUACGCGAGUCACUUCGGUUGCCAGUGUUGGAAAUGAUCGUCGGGACAGGACAGAGUGCCAGUAUUGCGGUAAAUGGCAUUCGGGGAGUUGUAGAUUCCAUGACCCCUCCUGUUAUAAGUGCGGAUCAGGUGACCACUUUAUCAAGGAUUGCCCGAGACUGUCUGAACAAAAUGUAAAUCAGAAUGGGAAACCAGGUGCUACUACUGCUCAAGGUAGACCAUCUAGAAAUACGGGGAAUGCUAGUGGCGGUCAAAGAGGGUCUAAAGAUGUUACCACCAGAUCUGAGGCUCGUGCUCCUGCUAGAGCUUAUGCUAUACGUGCACGCGAGGAUGCUUCUUCGCCUGAUGUUAUUACCGGUAUUUUCACUCUCUUUGAUACUGAUGUGAUUGCUUUGAUUGACCCUGGAUCUACUCAUUCUUAUGUAUGUGAGACUUUAGCAUCCAGUAAGACUUUACCUGUUGAGUCUACUGAGUUCGUUAUUAGAGUGUCGAAUCCCUUAGGUCGUUAUGUGCUUGUCGACAAGGUGUGUAAGAAAUGCCCCUUAAUAAUCUGAGGCUCUUGUUUUCCGGCCGACUUGAUGCUUUUACCGUUUGAUGAAUUUGAUGUUAUUCUCGGUUUGGAUUGGUUGACCGUACAUGAUGCAGUUGUGAAUUGCAAAAGUAAGACUAUUGAUUUGAGGUGUGCAAAUAAUGAGAUAAUCUGAGUUGAGUCUACUGUUUUGACUGGAUUGCCAACAAUAAUAUCCUCGAUGUUAGCUCAAAAAUAUGUAAAAAAGGGGUGUGAAGCGUAUCUUGCAUACGUGCUUGAUAAUAAAGAAACAGAAAAGAAACUUGAAUCGGUAUCAGUGGUUUGUGAAUAUCCGGAUGUUUUUCCUGAAGAAUUACCAGGGUUGCCACCUAUUCGGGAGGUAGAGUUUGGCAUCGAACUUGUACCUGGGACUACACCGAUUUCGAUAGCUCCGUAUCGUAUGGCACCAACGGAAUUAAAGGAAUUGAAAGCUCAGUUGCAAGAGUUGAUGGAUAGAGGUUUCGCUCGACCGAGUUUCUCACCUUGGGGUGCACCAGUAUUGCUUGUGAAAAAGAAGGACGGAACCAUGAGGUUAUGCAUCGACUAUCGUCAGCUGAAUAAAGGGACAAUAAAGAAUAAAUAUCCGUUGCCGCGUAUUGAUGAUUUGUUUGAUCAACUAAAGGGAGCCUCAGUGUUUUCAAAGAUAGAUUUGAGAUCGGGUUAUUAUCAGUUGCGAGUUCGAAAUUCAGAUAUACCCAAAACUGCUUUUAGAACGAGAUACGGUCACUACGAGUUCUUAGUGAUGCCGUUUGGACUCACUAAUGCCCCUACAGUAUUUAUGGAUUUGAUGAAUCGGAUCUUCAGACAGUAUUUGGAUCGGUUUGUAGUUGUGUUUAUUGAUGACAUUUUGGUCUAUUCGAGAGAUGAAACCGAACAUGCUGAGCACCUGAGAUUAGUGUUGCAGAUUUUACGGGAUAAGCAGUUAAAUGCUAAGUUCAGUAAAUGUGAGUUCUGGUUGAGAGAAGUUAGCUUUUUGGGUCAUGUGGUAUCUGCAUCGGGUAUUCGAGUUGAUCUGAGCAAAAUUUCAGCCAUACUUAACUGGAAGCCUCCGAGAAAUAUUAUUGAGGUUUAGAGCUUUUUGGGCCUUGCCGGUUAUUACAGACAGUUUGUAAAGGGUUUCUCGAUGAUAGCCACACCAAUGACGAAACUACUUCAGAAAGAUGUUAAGUUUGAACGGACAGAAAAAUGUCAGAAAAGUUUCGAUCAACUAAAAACUUAUUUUACUGAAGCUCCAGUACUAGUGCAGCCCGAAUCAGGCAAAGAGUUUUUCAUUUACAGUGAUGCAUCCUUACUUGGGUUGGGUUGUGUAUUGAUACAAGAAGGUCGAGUUGUAGCUUAUGUGUCGAGGCAAUUGAAGUCACAUCAGAAAAAUUAUCCAACCCAUGAUCUCGAAUUAGCUGCCACCGUAUUCGCUUUGAAAAUAUGGCGACAUUACUUAUUUGGUGAGAAGUGCCAUGUAUUUUCGGAUAACAAAAGUCUCAAAUAUUUGAUGACUCAAAGAGAUUUGAAUCUGCGACAAAGACGUUGGCUUGAGUUGUUAAAAGAUUAUGAGCUUGUCAUUGACUAUCACCCGGGAAAGGCUAAUGUGGUUGCGGAUGCUUUAAGUCGUAAAUCACUAUUUGCUUUACGAGCGAUGAACGUACAUUUGUCUGUUCUAUCCGAUAAUGUGUUAGUAGCAGAAUUAAAGGCCAAACCAUUGUUGAUUCAUGAAAUUCGUGAAGCUCAGAAAGUCGAUGAUGAAUUGGUUGCAAAACGGGCUGAAUGUGUUUCGAAUAUGGAAUCAGAGUUUCAAAUUGAUGAUGACGAUUGUUUGAGGUUCAAAAGUCAUUUGUGUGUUCCAAGAUAUUCAGAACUUAUUUUGAUGAUUUUGAACGAAGCUCAUUGUAGCCGAAUGUCAAUUCACCCGGGGAGUACGAAAAUGUACAACGAUCUGAGACGUCAGUUUUGGCGGCAUGGUAUGAAACGAGACAUUUCCAAUUUUGUUUCGAAGUGUUUAAUAUGUCAACAAGUGAAAGCGGAACAUCAAGUGCCUACAGGUUUACUUCAAUCGAUCAUGAUACCUGAAUGGAAAUGGGAUCGAGUCACGAUGGAUUUUGUAUCUGGGUUGCCAUUGUCGGCAAGCAAGAAAAAUGCGAUUUGGGUUGUUGUUGAUAGACUGACUAAGUCGACUCAUUUUAGUCCCGUACGUACGGAUUAUUCACUGGAUAAACUAGCUGAAUUGUAUGUUUCUCAGAUUGUAAGAUUACACGGGGUACCUAUUUCUAUUGUAUCGGAUAGAGAUCCGAGGUUCACCUCGCGAUUUUGAAAGAAAUUGCAAGAAGCUUUGGGUACCAAGUUGCAUUUUAGCACCGCUUUUCAUCCCCAGACUGAUGGUCAAUCUGAGCAGAUAAUUCAGAUACUCGAGGAUAUGUUGAGAUGUAGCAUCCUUGAGUUUAGUGGUUCAUGGGAACGGUAUUUACCUUUGAUUGAAUUCGCUUACAACAAUAGUUUUCAGUCAAGCAUUAAGAUGGCACCUUACGAGGCUUUGUAUGGUCGUAAAUGCCGUACACCGUUGUUUUGGAUCGAGCUUAGUGAAAAUAAAAUCUUCGGGGUUGAUUUGAUUAAAGAUGCUGAGUAGAAAGUAAAAGUAAUCCGUGAAAGUCUGAAAGCAGCUUCAGAUCAUCAGAAGUCGUAUGUGGAUUCAAAACGAAAAGACAUUGAAUAUCAGGUCGGAGACAAAGUGUUUCUUAAAGUUUCACCUUGGAAAAAAGUGCUUAGAUUUGGCCGUAAAGGCAAAUUGAGUCCGAGGUUCAUCGGGCCAUAUGAAAUAUCCGAAUGAAUUGGGCCAGUCGCAUACAGAUUGAUUCUACCCCCUGAACUUGAAAAGAUUCACAACGUUUUUCAUGUCUCGAUGCUUCGACGAUAUAGAUCCGAUCCAUCGCACAUAAUUAAUCCAUCAGAGGUUGAAAUUCAAUCUGAUUUGAGUUAUGAAGAAGAACCGAUUCGUAUCCUAGCUCGCGAGGUGAAAGAGUUGCGAAACAAAAGGGUUCCGUUAGUAAAGGUGUUAUGGUUCAAACACGGGAUCGAAGAAGCUACUUGGGAAACCGAGAACUCUAUGAAAGAACGAUACCCAAAUCUAUUUACCGGUAAGAUUUUCGGGGACGAAAAUUUCUUAAGUGGGGGAGAGUUGUAACAGCCCUAAUUUGACCCUAGUUGUGAAGUGGUUUCGGGACCACAAAACUGAGUCAUAAAAAUAAUUAACCGUCAUAUUCUAUGUUUAUUUUAUGUGAAUAUGAAUGUGUGAAAGUUUCAUGCAUUAAUUUUGUCAUCAGUAUGUGAAAUUUUGAAGAAGGGACAUAGGUGAGACUUUUGUGAAAUAGGAUAGGUAAUUAUAAAAGGAUCUAAUUGUGCAUGAGGUUAAAAAAAAGUACUUGCAUGUCAAUUAGUCAAAAUUUUUGUUAGUGGCCGGCCAUGUUAUGGAUUUAUGUAUAAAAUAAUUAUUUUUGCUAAUAAUUAAUAUUACAAAAAUGAAAUAAUGAAUAAAGAUUAAUAAAAUAUUUGGGUGAGUGGGAGGAGAAACCAAAGUUGAUUCAUCCUCACUCCACCAUUGCCGUAACUUGAGAUUAGAAAGAAGAAAAAAAUUUCUUUGUUUGAUUUCGGCUUGGAGAAUAUUUAGAAAGAGGUAAGUACUUUGAAAUUCUUGAAAAUUUAUGUAUAAUUUUGGUGAUUUGUUCAAAUUAUAUUCAUUCCAUGAGUUAAAUUUUUGGUUGUUUGGAGGUUUGAUAUUCGGCCAAGUAGUUUGAAACUCUUGGUAAAUAUUUUUCUUUCUUUCUUUAUGUCAUUAAAAGGGAUGGUAUAUUAGGAUAUGAAGAGUGAUAAAUUGUUGUUAACUUGAAGGUUGAGAUUAGUGUAUGUUUAGAGGGAGGUGCCGAAUGUUUUAAAAAAAAAAGUGUAAUUGAGGUUAUAACAUUCGGUUAAGUAAUAUGGGUGCUAGCAAAUUUAGUAUAUUGUAUAGUUAUUAAUUGUCUUGUAUUAGAUGCUUUUUGAAGGCUAAUAAAUGGCUAAUAAGAUGUUGUUAGGAAAUUUUAGUUAGCUAUGUUGAAGCAUUCGGUAUUUCCUAUAAUAAUAGGUAUAAGAUUAGAAAUUAUAGUAAGUAAGUUGUAAUCCUAUAGGAGCAAGAUAGAAUCGGUUAUUUAAGUAAUGGAGUGAAUCGGUCAUUGUGUGGCAUAGAUAAAACCAAUAUGAAAUGGUUACAUUGAUCAUGGAAUGAAAAUCUUUUUAUAGAAGUUAAAUUUGUUUGAUUAGGGCCGAAUGGGGUUUAUAAAGUAAUGACAUGUUAAAUAUUUAUUUAUGUGAAUCCGAGGUUGUGCAUAAGACUAGUAAUCAUUCAAUUGUGAUAGUCACACAUAGGCAUAGAUAUACAAAUGCCUUGUGUAUGUACCUUGAGUCGUAGAGGCGUUUGGAUACAUAUAGUUAAACUUGUGUAUAUAAAGCAUGGUAAGUUAUGUAAAUUUUGGUUUGUGUAUGCGAAAUAGAUGUCGGUGUAAUAGGCAUAAAAUAAUAACAACAAUCGUAGCCUAUUCUAUAAAACAUAUUAUGUUUCGAAGUUAUAUGAUUGUUUAUUGUGACUACUAAACUAAGAAGUAAAACCGAGUAAAUAAUUUAAAUAAAUCUAUUUGUUUUAAUUAAGCUUAAGAGCAAAAGGGGUUUAAAUCAGAAAAGGGAAAGGAGAAAGCAGUCGAGUAGAUAAUCCGCAACGGUUCAAGCAUCCGAGGUAAGUUUUAAGUGGUCACCUUUAAAAUAUAUAAAUGAUAAUGUCUUAGUAUGAAUACAUUAGUUGAAUCGUAAUCUUUGGUCCCACUUGUAGUAAAUUAUGUGAUAAAUGAUUUAUAUAUAUGCCAUAUAGAUGAGUGAUCACUAUAAGUUAAGAUUAAAUGGUGAUAUGGUUAUAUAUAUAUGUAUAUAUUAUUAUCUGUGUGGAAUUUUUGAACCGAAAUGAAAAUGGUCAUAUUCAUAUGGAGCUUGUAUCUGAAUGUAGUAAAUGACUGCUAAUGUAGUAAGUUGAAUGGGAUGUGUGAGUAUAUAAUUAAAUAGGCAAAAUUUAUGUGGUAUUAUAUCCGGGUUAAAUCUUGCAGGCUUAAUGCUGGUAUUAUAUCUGGACUUAUAGUCCGCAGGCCUAGUGCUGGUAAUAGAUAUCCGGGUUAAAUCCCACAGGCUUUGUGCUAGAAAUUGGAAACGGGUUUUAAAAAAACCUAGCAGGCUUAAUGCCGGUGAUUUGAGUAAGAUUGUGAUUUCGAAUGUUCGGAUGAAACCACCAUUGAAAUUGUUCAAUGCAUUAAGUUGUUCAGGUAUGUAUUAUAUACCUGUAUAUGUUAGAUUGAUCAGAAUUGAAUCAUGAAUGUCAAACGAGAAGUAUAUGUAAAAAUCUCAUAUGUGUAUUCGAUUAUGGUGAAAGGUCACAUGAGAUGCUUUUCGAAUUCUUAUGAUCUUAUUUUUAAUUUCAAUAAUCGAUCUAUAAGUAAAUUAAUGGUUUGCAUUGCUUAAAACUUACUAAGCAUAGUAAUGCUUACUCUGUUACCUUAAUUCUCUAUUUUGUAGAUUUUGUUCGUCAACUACGGUCUUGGAAGUGUCAAAGUCGAAGUCAUCCACACUAUCUAAGCCCCUUUUUGAUACUCUUUCAGUCGAACUUUGAUAAUGGCAUGUAUAGGACUGACCUUUGUUGUUAAUUAUCUUUUGGUAAUGUAUAUUCGUAUAGCCAAGCGAAAAUGGCUUGUAUAUGUUGAGUAUGGCAUUAUAAUCAUUUUGUAUAUAUGGUCUUAUGAUAUGGUUAUUGAGUGGUAUGGAAAUGCUUGGUAAUGAUUAGCCAUUGGAAUGGCUAAUCAUGAUCAUAAUUGGUGCUAUGUAUGUCAAAUUGCUAGCUAAUCCAUGAAAACCAUGAAAUAGGUAAAAUUUACCACAAAAUAUUUUUCAGACAGCAGUAGUGAAGUGAGUUUGAAAAAUCACUAAAAAUAGCAAAAAUGGAAUUAAAUAAUGAAUAAGUUAUGGAAUUGAAGCUUGAUGAGUCUAUUUUCAUAUGGAAGAAACAAAACAGAUAUAUGAGCUAUAUUUUAUGAGAUGUUUAAUUUUUUAUGAAACAGGGCCAGAACGAUUUCUGGAUCCCCUGUUAUAACUUUGAAAAUUCACCAUAAAUUUUACAAAGAUAAUUAUAAGUCAUGAUUUAUAUGUACAGAUUCAUUAUUGAGUCUAGUUUUAUUAGAGACAAACGGCAUAGUCAUUGAAGCUCUGUACAGGGAGAUAUCUAAUUCGUAAUACACAGAGGUAAGAGUAGUUGAACCCCGAAAUAGGGGAGACUUUAACUAAUAAACUGUACUAAUUGGCCUGACCAAAAAUUCUAGAAAAAAAUUUGUAGAUAGAUAUAUGAGUCUAGUUUCAGGAAAAAUUUACGGAACUGAAUUUCGAGUUUUGGAACUCGAGAUAUGACUUUUUAAGUGACUGUGAUGCAUUUAGCCAGCUUGUCUGGAAAAUUUUAAAAAUGAAUUGUGUGAGCUGGGUAAGUAAUGAAGUAAGUCCGUUAACACCUCGUGUUCGACUCCGAAAACGGUCUCGGGUAUGGGGCGUUACAGAUAGCCAGCAUAAGACCAUGUCUGGGACAUGGCAACGACAACUUAACCCAUGUUUGAGGCUUAUAGAAUAUCUGGUAGUAUUCCAAAAGGUUCAACUUUAAGAGUUAAGAAAGAGAUUUAAUAAGGAAAGUAUGAUAAUGUUGUAAGUGUUACAGGUACCUAUUUGGUAGGCAUGAGUAAUGAGCCUGAUUAGAAAAUAUGAUUUGAGUUGAUGGUAAUAAGUAAGUCCAGUUUAUACUUACCUUUGAGCUAUGAGCAUAAUUGAUAAAUGGUGAAGUUGUUAUUAUAUAUAUAUUUAUAUGCAACUUACUAAGCUUUAUUCUUACUCUCUUUCCUUCCAUUUUCUAUCAGUACUGCCAUUUUGCUCGAGGAUCCCUUGAAGUCAGAGAUAUCAAUCACACUAUCAGCCGUAAUACUCGGUAUAGUUGGAUUUAUAUUUUUUAUUAUGGCAUGUACAGGGCUAGACUAGGGAGUUGUAUUAUUGAGAAAUUGUUUAUGUAUAUUGGCUUACGAUAAAAGCCUUUCAUUUUAUGUUAAGCCUAGAUAAUGACUAUUAUUCAUUUUGGCAAAUGUAUAUGAUGUUCCUUCUAUGGAUGAAUUAAUGUCUUUUGGGAUGGAAUUAGCAUAUUGAAAUGAUCUUGUGUAGGUUGUGCAAAAUGGGUAACGAAUGGCUUGGAAGAUAGCCUAGUUUGUCCAAACGGCAAGACACACGGACGUGUGUUUAGACCGUGUGUGACACACGGCUCACCCCCAUGGGUGUGUGUUAUGGUCGUGUGCCCCCCUACACUUAAACUUUUAGAUCAGUAUUGUCCACGGUUAGGCCACACGGGCAUAUUCCAUAGCUGUGUCUAUAAGUCAGUAUUGCCCACAGGUAGGCCACACGAGUGUGUGUCAUGGUCGUGCCCUAAAGUCAGUAUCGCACACGGGCUGAGGACGUGGGCGUGUCCCGAGUCACACGGGCGUGUGGAACCCUAAAGCAUGAAUUUCACCAAUUUUUUCUUAAAUUUUCAGUUAAGCCUAAAUCAUCUCGAAUGUAUGUUUCGGGCCUCAUAAGCCCAUUCAAUGAACUAAUUACUUAUGAAAGUAAAAGUUUUAAAAUUUAUCAAAAUUUUACCGCUCGGCUUUGUAUAAUUGAUUGAGUUAAGUCAGGUAACACCUUGAACCAUGUCCCGACGUCGUAUAUGGACGGGCGGUGUUACAUUUAGUGGUAUCAGAGCAUGAUUUAGUCAGUUCUAGGACUAACCUAGCUAAAGUACGAUUCUAGCCAUACAUGCCAUAUAUAUAUAUUGAUAGUGUGACGAUUCUUGACAAUUAUAAAUUGUGUUUUUCUUAUACAGUAAAUGGAUCCUGUUGAAACCAUGGUAAAUGACAUGGAAAGUAAUGCAUCGACUCCCACAGAAGGAACCGCGCCGAUAGAGAGUGAGCCCGUAAGUAUGGGCCAAGGCGGAGGGGCUAGGGAAGCCUACCUCCAGCUGAUGGAUGCUUGGUACACAGAGUUCGUUCGUGCGAACCCGAACACUCCACCUCCCUCACCUCCACCGAUUCUUCAGUAUGCCCCGAUUGCUCCGCAAGGUGCGGACAUGUUUAGGAGUGAAAAGCCUCCGGUAAACAAGAUCCGGAAGCAAGGGGCCGAGGUAUUUCGAGCUAGUGUAGAUGAGGAGUUGGAGAGAGCGGAGUUUUGGAUAGAAAAUACCAUGAGGGUAUUUGAUGAGCUAUCAUGCACACCUGAUGAGUGCGUGAAGUGUGCUGGGUCACUCUUAUGAGACUCGGCUUAUCAAUGGUGGAACACUCUCGUGUCUGUUGUACCGAGGGAGAGGAUCACUUGGCAAUUUUUCCAAGAAGAGUUUCGAAAGAAGUAUAUUAGCCAGAGCUUCGUGGAUCAGAAAAGGAAAGAAUUUCUAGAGUUGAAGGAAGAUAGUAAGACUGUGACAGAGUAUGAGCCUGAGUUUGUGAAGCUCAGCAAAUAUACGCGAGAAUGCGUAUCCACUGAAGCUACUAUGUACAAGAGGUUUGAGGAUGGCCUCAAUGAAGACAUUCGAGUGUUUGUGGGCAUCCUAGAGUUAAGAGAAUUUGUGGUGCUCGUUGAGAGAGCAUGUAAAGCAGAAGAGCUGGUAAAAGAGAAUAGGAAGGCGGUAUUGAGUCGCGAGAUUUAAAGAGAAGACAGAUGGGGAAGACGCAUCAGUCCUCCUCUAAGAGGUUGAAAGAAAUUAACACCUGAUCGAACGCUUCAUUGGGAUCUUCACGGAGGAACAAGAAUCGACAGAAUAUGACGUCUAAAGCCCAGACCACUUCGGUCGCUAGUGUCGGCAGUAUACGGCCAAAUAGGCAGGAGUGUCUACAAUGUAGGAGAUGCUACUUGGGCGAAUGCUGAGUAAAUGAGAGGGGCUGUUUCAAAUGUGGGUCGUUAGACCACUUCAUCCGAGAUUUUCUCGAAAUAAAUGACAAAGAGAAAAAUCAAGAGGUGAGGGCGAAUAGUACUCCUUUGAAGGGCAGACCCCAAAGAAAUACGGGCAGUGGAGCUAACAGUAGAGGCGCAACUAGAGAUGCAGUGGCGAGGUCCGAGGCAGAAUGCCUACGAGGACUUAUGCUAUCCGUGCCCGUGAGGAGGCAGAAUCUCCUGACGUGAUUACAGGUACUUUUUCUAUUCAUGACAUUUAUGUUGUUGCUUUGAUUGAUCCGGGGUCUACCUACUCCUAUAUGUGUAUGGAUUUGAUGCCCCGUAUAAGCAUGUUAGUAGAGUCCACUAAGUUUGUAAUAAAAGUGUCUAACCCAUUAGGCAAGCAUGUAUUAGUGGACCAAGUAUGUAUAAAUUGUCCUUUGAUGAUUAAAGGUCAUUGCUUUCCGGCCAACUUGAUGUUAUUGUCGUUUAAUGAAUUCAUGUAAUUCUUGGGAUGGAUUGGCUGACCUCCCAUGGCAUUGUAGUAGACUGUGGAAGAAAAGUAAUUCAGUUAAGCUGUGAGAAUGGUGAAGUUCUUCAAGUUGGGUCAAAUAACCUGCCUGUGAUAAUAACAUUUUUAGUCGCCGAAAAAUAUUUGAGAAAAGAUUAUGAAGCUUAUUUAGCUUUUGUGCUGAAUACCAAGUGUCCGAGUCGAAGAUUGAGUCAGUACCAGUGGUUUGUGAGUUUAUAGAUGUUUUUCCAGGAGAAUUGCCUGGGUUACCUCCAGAAAGAGAAGUUGAGUUUGGUAUAGAGUUAGUUCCCAGCACAACGCCAAUCUCGAUUGCACUGUAUAGAAUGACCCCCACUAAGUUGAAGGAGUUGAAAGUGCAGUUGCAAGAGUUAACAGAUAAAGGUUUUGCUAGACCGAGUUAUUCACCAUGGGGUGCUCUGGUACCUUUUAUGAAAAAAAAAGACGGGUCGAUGAGAUUAUGUAUCGACUAUAGAAAACUAAACAAAGUAACAGUGAAGAACAAGUAUCCUUUAUCGAGGAUCGAUGAUCUCUUCGAUCAACUGAGAGGAGCCACUGUAUUUUCUAAAAUAGAUUUGAGGUCGAGUUACUACUAAUUAAGAGUCAAGGAAUAAGAUGUGCCGAAGAUUACUUUUCGGAUGAGAUAUGGGCAUUACGAGUUUCUUGUUAUGCCUUUUGGAUUAACAAAUGCCCCAGCGGUAUUUAUGGACUUGAUGAAUCGCAUCUUCCAACCAUAUUUGGAUAGGUUCGUCGUCGUUUUUAUUGAUGACAUCUUGGUUUAUUCACGUAACGAGAAUUAGCACGCAGAGUAUUUGAGAGCUGUGUUGCAGAUCUUGAGGGAUAAGCAACUUUAUGCCAAGUUUAGUAAGAGUGAGUUUUGGCUCAAAAAGGUCGGGUUUCUAGGACAUAUAGUGUCGGGUGAUGGAAUCAGAGUUGAUCUAAAUAAGAUCUCUGCCAUUGUGGAGUGGAAACCGCCGAGGAAUGUAACAGAUGUUUGCAGUUUUCUGGGGCUAACAGGAUACUAUAGACGAUUUGUAAAUAGAUUCUCCAUGAUAGCUACACCAAUAACAAGGCUACUGCAGAAAGAUGUCAAGUUCGAAUGGAUAGAAGAGUGCCAACAGAGCUUCGAGAAAUUAAAGGCUUUGUUGACUAAAGCACCAAUUUUAGUGCAACCUAAGUCGGGCAAGGAAUUUGUAGUUUUUAGUGACGCCUCCCUAAACGAUUUAGGGUGUGUACUAAUGCAAAAAGGCAAGGUUAUAGCCUAUGCCUCGAGACAGCUAAAACCUCAUGAGAGGAAUUUUCCGACCCAUGAUUUAGAGCUAGCAGCUGUGGUGUUCGCACUAAAAAUUUGGCGACACCAUUUGUAUGGUGAGAGAUGCUGAGUAUUUACAGAUCACAAGAGUCUAAAGUAUCUAAUGACUCAGAAAGAGUUGAAUUUGAGGCAACGAUGAUGGUUAGAGCUAAUAAAAGAUUAUGAGUUGAUUAUCGACUAUCAUUCGGGAAAUAUGAAAAUAGUCGCUGACGCUUUGAGUAGGAAGUCGUUAUUUUCCUUGAGAGCCUUGAAUGCUCAAUUGACUACAUCUAAUGAUGGAUCGGUCCUAGAAGAGUUGAAAGCCAGACCGACUUUUCGUCAUGAAAUCUGUGAAGCUCAGAAAGAUGACAAGAAACUACAAGCCAAGAUAACUCAGUAUGAAUCAGAAAUUUAGUCAGAUUUUCAUAUUAGUACUAAUGGGUGUAUAAUGUUCAAAGACAGAGUUUGUGUACCCAAAGAUAGUGAGCUCAUUCAGAAGAUUUUAUAGGAGGCACACAGUGGUUGUUCGUCAGUUCACCCGGGUAGCAUGAAAAUGUACAACAACCUUAAGAAAAUGUAUUGGUGGUCGGGUAUGAAAAGAGACAUUUCAGAGUUCGUUUCCAAGUGCCUAGUGUGUCAACAAGUAAAGGCUGAACAUAAGUGCCUUCGGGUUUACUUCAGCCUAUUAUGAUUCCCGAGUGGAAAUGGGAUCGUAUCACCAUAGACUUCGUGACCAGUUUGCCUCUAACCCCGAAAAAGAGAGAUGCAGUAUGGGUUAUUAUCGAUAGACUUACUAAGUCAGCACACUUCAUACCAGUGCGUGUCGACUACUCCCUUAAGAAGUUGGCAGACUUGUAUGUUUCUGAGAUUGUGAGGUUUCUUGGUGUGCCGUUACUAAUUGCAUCUGAUCGAGACCCGAGGUUCACCUCAAGGUUUUGGAAAAAGUUACAAGAGGCUCUAGGAACCAAGUUGAGUUUCAGUACGGCAUUUCAUCUGCAAACUGACCAACAGUCGGAAAGAGUAAUACAGAUCUUAGAAGACAUGUUAAGGUGUUUUGUUCUUGAAUUUCAAGGAAGUUGGAAAAAAUACUUACCAUUGGUUGAAUUCGCUUACAACAACAGCUAUCAGUCGAGUCUGAAAAUGGCACCUUAUGAAGCUUUGUACGAGUGAAAGUGCCGAAAACCCUUAUUCUGGACCAAGUUGAGAAAGAAUCAGAUUCACGGGGUGGAUUUGAUUAAAGAGGCUGAGGAAAAAGUUAAGGUGAUUCGUGACUGUUUGAAAGUCGCCUCGGAUAGACAAAAAUCCUACGCGAAUUUGAAACGAAGGGAGAUUAAAUUUGAAGUCAGGGAUAAGAUAUUUUUAAAAGUUUCCAUGUGGAGGAAAGUCCUCAGAUUUGGUAAAAAGGGCAAGUUGAGUCCUCGUUUCAUAGGACCUUAUGAGAUUACCGAGAGAGUAGGGCCUGUUGCCUACCGUUUGGAAUUGUCGCUAGAGUUAGAAAAGAUUUACGAUGUGUUUCACGUGUCUAUGUUAUGCUGGUACAGAUUAGACUCUUCGCAUAUAAUUGUGCCAACUGAAGUUGAGAUUCUCCCAGACAUGACUUAUAGUGAGGAGCUGGUCAAGAUUUUAGCUCGAGAAGUCAAACAGCUACGAAAUAAAAAUAUACCACUUGUGAAGGUUUUAUGGAAUAGACAUGGAGUCAAGGAAGCCACAUGGGAACCCUAGGAGUCUCUGAGAGAACAUUACCUGAACUUAUUCACCGGUAAGAUUUUCGAGGACGAAAAUCCCUAAGGGGGGAGAAAUGUAACAACCCGAUUUAAGGCCUAGUCAGAAAAUGGUCUCAGGACCACAAAUCUGAAGAUUGAAAAAUUAUUUUUAUUAUUUUUAUGAGGUUAUAGCAUGAUUAUAUUAGUGCAUGAAAAAUCUGGUGAAUUAAUUUUAAUAUUUUCAAGCUCGAUUGCAAAAAAGAACUAAAUCGUAAAAAAGGCAAAAGUUACAUUUUAGCACCCAAAGGUGCCAAGUAGCUAGAGAUUUAAAAUUAGGAGUAUUUAAAGGGCAUUUAAACCCUAUUGGAAUGGGUUGGCCUGCCAUAAGACAAGAAAAUGGGUGGUCAACAUGUUAGGUAUUUUGAUGACCUCAUAUGUAAUAAAUUAAUUCCUAAAAGCCUAGUUUUUAUUUUUCCCUCACUCCUUCUUCCUUGUUGACCAAAAAUAUCAUCAAAUAUUGAGGUUUGAAAGCUCAAAAAUCUACAACAACUUAAAGCACUCAUAAGUAAGUGAUUUUAAUUAGUUUUCUUCAAGAUUUUUACAUUUUUGAGACCUUUAAAGCAUGAGCUUUCAAGUGAGGGUGAUAUCUUACAAAAUGGUCAAGAGUUUAGGAUUUUUCCAUGGAUGUAUUUGUGGUAUAUGCUGAGUUUUUAUGGAGGAAUAUGAGUCCUAGUUGUGUUAUAAACAACUUUUAUGAAAGGUGUUAGUAUGAAAACACCUAAAGGGACUAUUUUGCAUAAGUUGCAAAUUAAGUAAUAAGUGUGUGAAAUAGUGAGAAUUUGGGGUUUCUCUAGUAGUAAAAAGAGUUUAUCUAUGCUUUAAAUACAAAUAAAUUCGAUAAAAAUUGAAUUUGAGCAUAGGGGUAAAAUAGUCAUUUUGCUAAAGUCUAGGGACAAAAUGGUCAUUUUACCAAAGAUGUAAAUUUUAGAUAGCCUAAUUGUGUUUAAUGACUGAAUGAGUGCAUUUUGUUAUUAUAGAUCAAGAUUUGCCAAAACCAAGCCUAGACCAGGGCAAAGCCAAGCAAUCCGAUUAAGCCGAUUAGUCAUGUACUUUUUGUAAACCAAGGUAAGUUGCACGUAAAUAAUACAACUAUAUUAUUAAUGCGUGUAUUCAAUUGUUAUUGGUUUGAUAUAGCAUAAAUUUCUAGAAUUGGAACUAAGAAUUUCUAGAAUUGGAACUAAGUAUAUGUAUUUAUAAUUGAGAAAGUCGAAAGAUCCAGUAAGAACCCCAAGAAACAAACCGGAUAUUCAUGCCAUGACAUUGGGUUAUGUGAGAGCCAGUAUAAGACCAUGUUUGGGACGUGGCAUCAGCAUUGAGAUAGGGCUAGUGUAAUACAUGUCUGGGACAUGCAUCAACCGCAUCAUGAUAGCCCUUAUAAGACCACGUCUGAGACAUGGCAUCAGCAUAGAGGUGAGUGCCAGUGUAAGACAUGUCUGAGACAUGCAUCGGCCUCGAUGAUGUUAGCCAGUGUAAGGUGUCUGGGACAUGCAUCGGUUAAGUUUCGUGCUAGUGUAAGACAUGUCUGGGACAUGCAUCAGUAUGUAUACACGAGAGCCAAUGUAAGACCAUGUCUAGGACAUGGCAUCAACCUCGAUGGAGAUAGCCAACGUAAGACCAUGUCUGGGACAUGGCAGCGACAACUUAACCCAUGUUUGAGGCUUAUAGAAUAUUCGGUAGUAUUCCAAAAGGUUCAACUUUAAGAGUUAAGAAAGAGAUUUAAUAAGGAAAGUAUGAUAAUGUUGUAAGUGUUACAGGUACCUAUUUGGUAGGCAUGAGUAAUGAGCUUGAUUAGAAAAUAUGAUUUGAGUUGAUGGUAAUGAAUAAGUCCAAUUUAUACUUACCUUUGGGCUAUGAGCAUAAUUGAUAAAUGGUGAAGUUUUUAUUAUAUAUAUUUAUAUGCAACUUACUAAGCUUUAUGCUUACUCUCUUUCCUUCAUUUUUCUAUCAGUACUGCCAUUUUGCUCGAGGAUCCCUUGAAGUCAGAGAUAUCAUUCACACUAUCAGUCGUAAUACUCGGUAUAGUUGGAUUUAUAUUUUUGAUUAUGGCAUGUACAAGUCUAGACUAGGGAGUUGUAUUAUUGAGAAAUUGUUUAUGUAUAUUGGCUUAAGAUAAAAGCCCUUCAUUUUGUGUCAAGCCUAGAUAAUGACUAUUAUUCAUUUUGGAAAAUGUAUAUGAUGUUCCUUUUAUGGAUGAAUUAAUGUCUUUUGGGAUGAAAUUAGCAUAUUGAAAUGAUCUUGUAUGGGUUGUGCAAAAUGGGUAACGAAUGGCUUGGAAGAUAGCCUAGUUUGUCCACACGGGCGUGUGUUUAAACCAUGUGUGACACACGGCUCACUCCCAUGGGUGUGUGUUAUGGCCGUGCGUCCCCCUGCACUUAAACUUUUAGAUCAGUAUUGUCCACAAUUAGGCCACACGGGCGUGUGCCAUAGCCUACGGGUAGGCCACACGGGCGUGUGUCAUGGCAGUGCCCUAAAGUCAGUGUCGCACACGGGCUGAGGAUGUGGGCGUGUCCCGAGUCACACGGGCGUGUGGAACCCUAAAGCAUAAAUUUCACCAAGUUUUUCUUAAAUUCUCAGUUAAGUCUAAAUCGUAUCGAAUGUAUGUUUUGGGCCUUGUAAGCCCAUUCAAAGAACUAAUUGCUUAUGAAAGUAAAAGUUUUAAAAUUUAUCAAAAUUUUACCGCCCGGCUUUGUAUAGUUGAUUGAGUUAAUCAGGUAACACCUCGAACCAUGUCCCGACAUCGGAUAUGGGCAAGGGGUGUUACAACCUAACUCUAGCCAACAAUCGCUUCUGUGGGAUUAUCUUCUACUAUUAUCUUAUGUUAGAUCAUCACUUCUUAAUGGAAAAUCCUACGCCAUUUUGUCUCUUGGGCUUGCCAACCUCUGACGUAGUAAGCUAACGAACCGACUGUGCAACCUUCCCAAAACAUACAAACGGCCGCCUUUGCACAUGUUGAAAAGAUCACCUUGUAAGGGACAUGGAGGGAAACGUCACCCCCGUAAUGCGGAGAAGUGAUGCAUAUUUGUCUAGAAGGCUAAGUACGGAUUCUAAGCCCCAUGAACCCUUUUUGAGGAAUUUUGACAACCUUCAGCUAGAUAGAUUUAGCGGCUCGUGAUUUUUGGGAAAAAACAAAUAAAUAUAAUGGGAAUGGAAUUUUUAUUGAAAGAAAAUAUGAAAAGAACAAAAAGGCUAAACUUUAUGGGGAGAGAGUGUUACAGAAAAAGAUGGACGAAAUUUGUGCCACUUCAUCCCCUAUUUAUAGUACUAAGAAACCUAGCUUAUUCCUAAUUAAAUUCUAAAAGAUAAAUAAAAAUAAAUAAAGAUAAUUAAAGAUAAAUGAAAAUAAAUCCUAAAAUUAAAUAUAAAUAAUAAUCCUUAAUAAUUAUCCUAAUAUAAUUAAACAUUAAAUAGAGUCUUGUGCUAUAAAAUAUCUUCUUUUGCACUUUUGCCCUUAUGUCUUCCAUACUUGCAUUUUUGACACCACUUUUUUCCCUAUGUCGCAUGUUGGCCCAUUGUAUCUUCAAAUUUGCACUUUUUGCCUUUAAAUUUUCUUUUGCCUCUAAUUUAGUCCCUGAAAGAUAAAAGACCAUAAAUAGCUCAAAUUAGUAGGAUCAUACUCAAAAUAAACAUGCAAUUAGCACAUAAAAUAUGUCGUUCUAGAGUAUUAUCAAUGAAUUGUAUGUUCUAAGAUAUUUAUUGAAUAUUAAAUGAAUUAUUGAUUUAAAAUUUCAUGUUAAUGUUUCGUUACUUGGUGUAGCAUCCCAUAACUCGAUUCUGGUGUCGGGGAUGGAUUGGGGGUGUUACAACUAAGUCUAACUAAAAGAGGUCUAAAAUUACAACCAGUAUGUUUGGUUUGGAAUUGAGUUGUAAUGGAAUGUUAUUAUGUGAUAACAGAAUUGAGUUGAAAUUGAACUGGAUGAGUGUUACAAUAGUUUGGUUGAGUGGAAUGGAAUGAGUAUCUAUGUUAGGUUUAAGGAACAAAUAUUGUAAUAACAUAAGAAAAAAAAAAACUAAAACAACUAAUAUGCCUUUUAUAAUUAUUUUUAGGCUAAGCUAUACUUAAGGUCACUAAAUUAUUAGUAAGUUUACAUUUUGGUUCCUCAACUAAAAAAGUUACAAAAUAGUCAUUAAACUUAAAAAUAUUUUCAUUUAAGCUAUUGGACUAUUAAGUCUUUUGCUUAAAAAAAUUGCACCCGACCAAAUUUAAGUGACAAUUCAACGAUUAGCAAUGUGGAACAAUACCAAUCGAUGAGUAGAAAAACAUAUCUCAUAUCUAAGCUCAUCUAACAGUCAAUGUCAAAGAUAGGAGAAAAAAACUGUUUGGACUUUGGUUCGCAGAUUCAUGACAUUCAAAUCUAUUUCAUGAAAAAGAAAACUAAAUUGUAGAAGAGGAGUGGAAGUUUACCUUUUCGAUCGGUACCAAAGGUGAGAACAUAGAAGGUCAUACAACAGUGAUUUUAAUAGCCUAAUAACUUAAAUGAAACAUUCGAAUAGUUUAGUGACAUAACUUUUUGAAGUUGAGUGAUUAAAAUGUAAACUUACUAAUAUUUCAUUGACCUUGGAUGUAGUUUACCCUUUUCUUUAACAAAGUAUCUAAAAAUGUUAAAAAUCUCAAAGGAAUGGUAUACUUGUUUUAAAAUAUAUAUUUAAAAAUAUCCAAAAAAUAUUAAAAUGCUCAAAUCACCAAUAUAUCAUUUAAUAGUUUUUUUUUAAUAAAAUAGGAAGGCAAAACCCUAGAAAAAUAAAAAAUAUAAAUUACAUUCGAACAUAAAGAACUCCAAGCUUAUCAUUGUCAAGGGUCAACUCAACUUCAACCGGUGGAGCAUCCAAAAUGUAGAAAGUGACAAACUUUGAUAUUACAAUUUUGAAAAGCACAUCAGCAACUUCAUUUGCUUCCCAAUAAACAUGAAGCAAAUUAAAAUUCUAAAAACUAGUACAUAAAGCCAUGAUGUUGUCAAUCAAUGUCUAAGACUCCCCCAUUUGAAGUAAUCAUAUCAACAAUCUCUUUACAGUCACAAUUAACCUCCACAUUGGUAAAACCACAAUCCUUAGCAAGUUUUAGUCCAUCAUACAAUUCCUAUAAUUCAGCUUCCAUGGCUGAAGAUAACCCUAGUCAGUAUGAAAAACCUAUCAGCCAAUGCCUUGUUUCAUCUCAGAUCAAUCCAACAGCUAAGGGGAAACCAUCUUUAUUACUAUAUCAGACUACAUUGAGCUUGACCUAACCCUCAUUAGGUGGUAAUCAACCAAUAUAACUCACACAACUUGUGUUACCAUGUAGCAAUUAGAUACAAGAUUGCUUAGUAUAACAACUCACACUCUCAAAAAUAAAUUUAUUUCGUUGCUUUCGGAGUAACCAAAAAACUACACCAAAUAAUAUCUUUCAAUCUAAACCCUCCUUAUUAAACAUUAGAUUGCAGCUUAAAUUACCACUAACCCAAUUAGAUAAAGAAAAGAAAAAAAAAACUUGGUGCUCUCAAUUUCACAAUCGUAGACAUCAUUAUAUUAUAUUCAACUAGUUUAGUUGUUGUUUAAUAAGUAUUUAUAUAGAUCUUCAUUAUGUUAGCAAGUCUCGAAAUAUCUAUGUAAUUGAGAUAUGUAUAGGUUAUUGUAAUGUUUUUUAGAGCACUUAAUUUGUUCAAGUGAGGAAUAUUAUUUUUGAGAGUGCAAUUGAUUGUCAAACAUUUGUGUUGUGGUUUUACAUGCUAAGUUUACAGUGGUGAACUUAAUAGUGAGAGUACCAACCUUCUUGGAUACAAAAAUGAGGAAAUUAUCACAAGGGUGUGAUAGAUUUAGGUUCACUUAUUGUAAGCAUUGAAAAUAAUGGAUAUUUCUCACUGAGUUAGGCUCCAUAGACAUAAGAAAUCGAACUACGUAAACAAAAUUUGUUGUUCCCUAGUUUAUUCUUUGUUUCAUAGUGGUUGAAGAAGUGCCCACCUCCGUAGGUACUUCUUCUGUGUCUUAGCUUGUGCUUGCAACUGUUUUCAAGUCAACAAUUUUCACAUACAAAAAGUGUCAACCUUUUGUGGCAUUACAACGCCUUGAAAACUUCAAUGGUUGAAAAUUCGUUAAGUGUCGAAAAAUUUGUGACGUUUUGAGAUAUUAAAUUGAAAGGUUUUCCAAGAAUGGAUAUCGAGUUAUUUCCAUAAAUUAAUAUAAGUGAUUUUUCAUUAAUAAUUUAGAUUUAAUUAGUUGAAAUUGAGGAAUUAAAAACUUGGCCUAUGAACUAUUUUGUCAUAAAGGGAAACUUUAGUGGUCAAAUGUCUAAGAAAUAAAUUCAUGAUUUAGGAAAUAAGAGAGAGGCUUAUGUGUUAAAUAUCAUAGAGAUUAAAUAGCUAAUUUCUCAUGAAAUGAAUUAGAGGGAGAGUUAGUUAUUUCCCACUCAAAUUCAUACCAAUGCUAGAGAAAACUACUAUUUUUCUCUUUAUUUUCUCUUCAAUCUUGGAGCAAAAUCAAGCAAUCAAGGAAGAUAAGUUAGAUUUCUAGUGAUUUCUUCAUCUAAUUAAAAGAGUUUUUAGAUUUGAUAUUUUUUAUGGAAAAAAAAAGAAGAUUCUUUUUUUCUCUUUUCACGCUAACUUCUUUAUGUAAUAAAGGAAAAUGCUGGUGGUCAAAUGUUUAAGGAUUAAAUUAUGAUUUUAGAAAUAAGAGAGGGGUUUAUGCGUGAAAUAUCCCAGAGAUAACUUAGAGAGAGAGUUAGUUCUUUCCCACUCAAAUUCACGCCAAAGCUAAAGAAAACUACUAAGGAAUUUUUUUGUCUCAAUUUUCUCUUCAAUCUUGGAGCAAAAUCAAGCCAACAAUGAAGGUAAGUUAGAUUUCUAGUGAUUUCUUCAUCAAAUCAAGAGAGUUUAUAGAUAGUUGAACAAGUUUUUUAUUUUAUCUCUUUUUCACACCACCUUCUUUUGGAAAAAGAGUGUGUGUUGAUUUUUAUAAUUUCUUGAUGAAUUUUGAGGCAAGCUUGUGUUAAUGUGAUACAAAAGACAUCGAAGCUAUACAACAUAUUGUCUUAGAUAUGAUGAUCAUUCGGGACCCUUGGAGCUUGUUUUCUACCCAGCCUAAGCUACAUGGCAUGCUUCACUAUUUCAUUAUGACCUAAAUCCAGUGAGAUUUCCUUCAUUUGCGCAAUGGUGGAUUUCAGCACAAAAAUGCUUGCCUCCUUUAACUCUUUUCUUGGUCCCAAGCUCAUUGCUUCAUUUGUUAGGAGAUUAGGAAAGCCUACAAUACCGUUAUUUUCAAAGGAAAAAAGAGGACUUGGUUCAGGUUGGGAACGAAGCCUUUAAAGGAUAUUUGGACUUUCUUGCCUCAAAUCUUCUUUCGUUCUCAUUUUUCCCUCCACCACCUCUUUUUUGACAUGGAUUUCUCCCCUAGAACGCGGUUUAAAGAUUAAUUGUGGCACAAAUUUCUCUUCUUUGACCUCUACUACUGGUAUUGUCACAUUUGUCGGAGACAACCUAAGGUGUGUAGUUUCUGGAGCUAAUGUGCUAGUCUACUCUUCUUCUAUUUUAGCAACAAAAGCCUCCUCUUUAAGGCUUGGCUCAAAACUUCUACACUCUUAUCAUUGACAAAGUGCCAUUUUAGAAUCUGAUAGCAUGCUCUGCAUUGAUGUUUUAAACUUGGAUUCAGAUCAUUCUUAGGAACCAUCUGCAGUCCUAGACAACAUUCUCAUUUAGCAUGUGAAUUGCUAAACCAACCUUAUAUGAAACCUUUCCGUUGAAUUGUGUUCGCAUACCUUCAAUGGAUUUAUGACAUUUUAUAAAAAUAAUAUUAAGAAAUAAUUAAUUACAAAAAUGGGAUGGAAGAAAAAUUAAUUAUGAAAAUGGCUCUUUUGAUACAAUGCACGACGGUGCCGCUUGACACACCGGUGACACCAUUCCACUUUUCGGCCAAUGAUAAAGCAAUUAGUGCAUUUAAAAAAAUUUGGUGACACCACUUUGUCAGGCGGCACAGAUAUGUAUUUUUAAAAAAUACAUAAAUAAAUAUAGACAGUGAAAAAGAAAAAAAAAUUAUGAGUGUCACUUAACAAAUCGACAGCAUUACUUAUUUCUUUAGCUAUUGUUUCACUUGUUUCAUUGAUGUCCUUCAGCGCUUCUUUCACCUUCUCUUGUUCCAUCAUUAACAUUACCAGGGUCUUUUCCUCCUGUGCCUCUAAAACUAACAUUAUGUUUAGUAACAUCUUUUUUUUGUCAAUCAAAAUUUCUUUAUAAAAAAUUAAAGUAGUGCCGUCGGACUCUUAGGCGGCACUUAUAAAUUUAUUUUUUCUUCAAUGCACAUUUUAAAAUACAAAUAUUUUUAAAAAAAAAUUGUUAUUGACUGAUGAUAACUGAAAAGUGAGGGUGGUAUCGUCAAUUUAUCAGGCGACACGGAUAAAUACAGUAAAUUCAUAUCAUAAUUAAUUGUUGUUGCAUACUUUUUAUGUAAUUAAUUAAUUUUUAAUUACGAAUGAUAAGCAUAUUAAAAAAACAAAAAAGCAGCUAAAACGUAGUCGUUUAAUAAAUAUCAGCAUUGAAACACCAUUAUCAUUUGAUUUAAUUUUUGUUUUUGUUGUUAUCCAUCCAGUCCAGUCCACACUUAUGGCAGGCUCGGUGGUUCCACCAAUGCUUCUCUCUGCAACAACAUCCCAACUCCCUCUUUCCCCGCCUAACUCCUCCACCAACCAAACCCUUCCACGUGCCCCCCUCUACCACCUCUCCUCCUCCUCUCUUCCCAAACCCCCUCUCAAACACCUCAACCUCAACUCCACCUCCCUCCACCACGUCUCCGCCCCCACCCUCCCCGACGACGAUGAAUCCCCCCAAGCCCAACCCGCCAUGGUCUCCUCCGCCUCUGCCGUCUCCGCUGCCAUCCGUAAAGCCUCCACCUCCCCCGUCGACUUCACUCAAAGAAUCGAGAAAAACGACCACCGCAACCACAAAUUAAUCAUGCCUACCCCAGACUUCCAGCGCCUCUGCCUCGAACAACUCGACCUCUUUCGCCGUAUCGUUGACCACGACGCUGUUCUCUCCGUUUAUGUUAGGCCUGCCGGUAGUUACGUCAUGGACCAGCUGGAGUUACGUCGGGUUACCUCGUAUCCGGGAGUCGAAGCCGCCGACAUUUUGUUUUUAGUCGGAAACUUCACUGUCCCCGCAGGACUGCGUGCCGCUGAAGCGGCGCUUUCAAGUCAACAAAUGGAGGUUGUGGGGGAGCAUAGAGCGGUGGUAUUUCCUAUGGUGAAGCAGCCGUUCGUGGUGGGCUUCUUGGUGGCGGAGCUCCCGGGGAUGGAGAAGGUGCCGCAGGGGAGUGGAAGUGGGAACAUGGUUCGUUUUCCGACUCCUGAGGAGGCUUACGCGUUGUCUUCUCCUUCUCCAGGACUGGGUAUGAAAAAAUCGUGGGAAAUUCAGUCUCUUGAGAAUGAAGCCAUGAGGCAAAAUGACAUCUUUACUGUUGACGAGAGUUCCAAUGCCAUCAAUAUAUCUCGAACUUUAGCAGUGGCUUAUGUUAUGGAUCAGGUUAGUCACUCACGUCAUAUUUCUUCUUAUCUUUAUACUACCAAUAAUUUAUUUCAUUGCCAUUAUCAAGCGAAAAAAGAAUUUAGCUUUGCCAUGUUAUGUUGUAUGUAUGUAGGAACUUAAUGUGAUUUUACUUGUGUGUCUUGAGUCAAUGCAACUUUUAUAUUAAUCGUAUUUCUUCCGUAGAAAGCUAUUUUAUUACAGCAAUCGACAUGGCAAAACAAUGUCAGAAUGGGUGCUCUGGUUGAGCAGGUAUAAUGUGUUGCCUGCUGUACAUACAUUUCCUUCUUCUUCUUCUUUUUUUUUUUUUUUAUUGUUCAAGUUAUUAUGGUUUUUCCUUUAAAUUUCAAAAUUUUCUUACAGAUUCGCGGUCCUCUUUCCAGCAUUAGGACGUUAAGUAAAAUGCUAUCCACUCAUGUCAAAGAACAUGAGGUUAGUCCUUGAACCAUCUGAAAAAAUGUUGAUCCUACUUUUCGGUUUUAAGUGUUUCAUUCUGCAAUUCUUUCGACUGUUACAUAUUUAAUUAAGGAAAGCAUACUCUUGUAGAUUUCUCACGACAUUGUUGAAGACAUAUUGGUGCAAGGUGACUGUAUCAGCGGCACCCUUCAAGAGCUACAAGAUGCUGUUUACUUGACAAAGGUCAUUUUUCUCUCAAAGCAUGUAGAGAUACACACAUUAAGACUGUUGCUGCUUCUUCUCCUUUUCAUUUUUCUUCUUUUGACGAUUCAGAAUGUCUUUCUUUCUUUUGGUUGAUGUGAUACAAUAGCUCUCUGUUAUGUCUUUCUGUUCCCAGUUAGUUUCAUUCUUGGAAUUAAAAGUUUCCCUUUUCUAGUUAUCUUCACGCCCAUAUCUGAUUUUCCUAUCUGACUUGUUUUUAGGCUAAUAUAAUGCGCUACAAUGAAGGAUCCUUGAAAAAGAUGCGUAAUUCAACUCAUUCGCACCCUGAGUCGCCAAGAUCUCAAUUAUCAGAUGAUUUCUCCAGGGAUAGGUCUGGCAAUAGGUCAGAAACCUCUGGUUUACUACUAUCCCUAAGUACCACAGAUAAGGAUUUAGAGAUGCCAAUGCCACCUCUGGCUCUUGCUCCAUUACAAGAACACGGAAUCAGGUAUGCAAUUCCCUUCUGGUACUUGAGUUCAUCUCCUCAUAAAAUAAAAUAAAACCUAAUUAAGUGUUCAAUCAUAUCAAUUAAAUUCCAGUAGGAGAUUCCUCUUUUACAGUUCAAAUUUGAUGUUAAACCUCAUGUAGAAAAUUGUUUAUGAUGCUAAUUGUUGGAGAGUGUAUAGAUUACAUAGCCUGAACUUGUGCUGUGAGCCUAGGUUGUAGUCUAAAGCUGAAUAUAGGCUAAACUGCUUAUCUUUCCUCUAAAUAGCCUUGAUAAUAAAUCACUUAGUUACUUUUCAAUUGAAUGCAAUCCAUCCCCAUCUCUUAUUGGACAUGCAAUAUAUUUCUACUAUUGAUUUCUUUUAGCAGCGUUAUUAUAAGUUUUGUUAUGUUUGUUCUUUUCUCAGGAAGUCCUGCAAUAUUUCUGAUGUACUCACUGAUUUAGUUGAUGCCGCGAGACCUCUUGCACAUAAGCAGCAGCGCAUGGUGGAAUUAAGUGAACUUUCGCAGCCUUUGCAAGUGGCUAUAGAAGAACCUGCUUUGCGCCAAGCCCUGAGCAAUUUGAUAGAGGGUGCAUUGUUACGUACUCAGGUUGGGGGGAAGGUUGAAAUUGUUUCUACUAGUGCACCAGCAGGUGGUGCUCUACUAGUAAUUGACGACGACGGUCCAGAUAUGCACUAUAUGGUAUUGUUGGAGAUUCCUUUUCCUCUGUGAUAGCUUUUGCUUUUUUGUUCAUUUUAGAUAGUAUUGAAUGCCUUUAGUAUGUCCUGUUUUGCUACUUAACCAUUAGUACAUGUAUUUCUUUGUUAAUGCUUAGUGUCUCCCCUAUUACAGUUAUCUGGGAAAUUGCAGUUAUUUUACUUGCUUUUGAGUUAGAUCUCAUGCUCAUCAUAAAUGAAAUGUUUUGGUGAUGUAUGUAUUUGCAGACACAGAUGCAUUCCCUCACACCAUUUGGUGCCGAACUCUUUUCGGAGAACAUGAUUGAAGACAACAUGACUUGGAACUUUGUUGCUGGGCUGACUGUAGCACGAGAAAUACUUGAAAGUUAUGGGUGUGUUGUCCGUGUGAUAUCACCUCGGACCACGGAUGCUGCUCUGGGAGCAGGUGGAACUCGUGUAGAACUAUGGCUUCCUUCUUUUGCUGCAUUAUCCGACAUAAACAACCUUAGUCAAGAGGCAUAACAAGAAAGUAGGAUAUUAUGUUGUUUUGAUUUAACUCGGGGCUUAUCUGGAAUUCCCCGCUCGCACCAACACAUGUAUUAGUAUCUAAAUUUGAGGGAAAUUUGUAUAGUUGAAUUCUGGUGCAGUGUAUACAUAUACAUAUAUAUUUAUAUAUAUAUAUAUAUCACGAAGAAGAAAAGGAAAUUGUAAAUGAAAAUGUAUUCUGGUGCAGUGUUUACAUAUAUAAUAUAUCAUGAUUUGGGUACAAAUUUUGAAUUUGAAUUUAAGGGUCUUAAGUGUAAUUUCAUAAAAAAUUCAUUUUAAAACUUAGAAUUUUCAAAAUAUAAAAUUGAUUAAAAAAUAUGAGAAUUUUUUUAUUCCCUUCUUUUCACACUUCCUUCGAAGCUCAAAUAAUAAAUAAUUAAUUAGCUCAAGGUUUUUAAAAUUGAAUCAACAGGUGAAUUGAUUAAGCUUUUAAUUUUUGAAUCAAUCAAUUUAAUCGACCCAAUUGGUUGAAUUGAAUCAAUUAUUAAAAAAUAUUUAAAAACAGAUAAAAUCAAUUUGAUUGUUGGCUUGACUGAUUUGAUCAAUAUUCUAAUUGAUUGUUCAAUCGGCUGGUCCAAUUCUAUUUAGCUAACAAUGUUAAAAAAGUCUUUUAAACAAUUAAAUUUUAAAUAUAUAUAUUUUUUUAAGACCUAGAAUUAGUUGAAAUCCAAAUUUGAAUUUGAAUUAUCGAAAUAAUGAAUUUGGAUUAAGUCAAUAUUUUGAAUUUUAAAUAUUUUAAUUCCUAAAAGAAAUUGAAAUAAUAAAUUUAUAAAUCAUAAUUUCAAAGUCAAUUUCAAAUCUAAAUUUUAAUUCUCUAAUGCUUCGUAAUUGAAUUCACACUAUUUACUUGUUUAGUAAUACUUAAAAAAAGCACUUUUGGCUCCAAAAAUAUUUUUGGAAGAAAGGCUGUGCUAAAAAAGUUGCUUUUAGCUUUUAUGGAAAUGGGAAGUUAAAAUUUUAAUAAAUUUUAUUAAUCCAUAUAAAUAUAAUUUAUCAAGAAGUGGUUGGGUGUAAUUAUUCCAAGAUGUAACCAUUUUUUUAAAUUACAAAUUUUUACAAUUUUUAAUAUUUUUUAUAAUUUUUACAAUAUUUUAAAAUUUUUAAUAUUUUAAUAUUAUAUUUUUUUAUUUUUAAAAAUUUCUAACAUAUUUAUAUUUUUUAAAAUAUAUAUUUGUAAUUUUAUUUUGGAAUUUUGAAUUUUUAUUUAUUUAAAAACUCUUUUAAAUUUUUACAACAUCAAUAUGUGAAAAAUGACAGAUUAUGAUUUAUUAGAUAUUCUAAUCGAUUUUUUAAACAUCUAAAGAAUUAAAUUGAGAAUGUCUGAUAAUGCUUGAGAUUAGACUAAAAAUAUUUGAUAAUUUUAGAGACUGAAAUAAACCAAAAAGAAAAUUUAAGGAUGAAAGUGAGAAAACCAAUAUAUUUAAUAAUUGAAGGAGUACAGAGGACAAGAAAAGCAAAAAGAUAAAAGAGAAGAGCAAUGCCAAGGAAGGAGCCAUGCACCGGAGAUUCGAUAUCCUUAAAUUUUCUAAAAUUGAGUUUUAGAAAUUUUUAUUUUAUAUUAUAAUUAGUGUUUUAAAAAAUAAAUUUCUAUUUGUCUCUUUUAAAGUUUUCAAAGAUUUUCUGAAUUUAAUUUCUUUUAUAAAAUUUAUAAUUUUUUAUAAUAAAUUUAGUAAUAUUUUUAGUUUAAUUUGGUAAAUUAAUAUAAAGUAGUAUCUAAAUAUUAAUCUGGUAAAAAUAAAUUUUAAUAAUUACAAUAUCUAAAUAUAAAUGGUACCUAAUUAUUAGUUAAAUAAAAAAUAAACUUAAAUAAUUAUAAUCUCUAAUAGGAAUUAAACAUUUAACUUAUUUUAUUUUUCUUAAAUUUUAAUAAUUAAAAUUAUCCUAAAUUUAAAAAUGGCGGGAGACUACUUUGAACAUUAAUAUUUAUAAAAAUAUCACGAUCAUUCUUAUCAACAACUCUAAUUUCGCCUAAGUAUACAUUACUGAAUACACAAGCCCAGACACUACAUGGAAAGCCAAAGGUAAAAAGGAAGGAGAAAGCUUUCAACUGCUAUUUUCACUUUGUUGUGACUUCAACUUAUUGCUUUGGAUUGGAUACCAUAAUAUGAUUCAAAUGAAUUGAAAUUUGUACUUCAAUGUUUUUUGUUUUUAUAUAUAUAUAUAUUUAUGUAUUUGAUGAUUUUCCAUUAUGAAUCUCUGGUUUGUGGACUUUUCCCUUUUAUGGUUUCUCUUGAUGGUUGACCGACUUGUGUUGCGCAUUUUGGUGCGGUAAUCUUGCUCACUAAUUUGGACUCCUAUCACCUCACCUUGCGCCCCUUUGAAAUAUUUGAAAAUAAUCCUUGCUGACUUAUGAGUUCUUUAACUUGUUUGUGUUUAAUUCUCAUGAAACUUUUAAGUCUUUUGUCGUAUAAAAACAUGGAGAUGUGCAUGUUUUGUUGAAAAAUAUGGACAUCACAUAUAUAAUAUGGAUAAUUACAUGUUAUUAUUUACUAUCACGAUAGGUUAGCCCAAAUUAAAAGAGAUCUAAUUUGGUUAAAAUUUUAUUCGACUUUAAUUAUUAAAUAAAGUAUGGGUCAAAAUGUAUAGAUACUCUAGUAAUUCAGUUCUAAUCAAAUUCUAAUUAAUUAUGGGCUAAUUAGAAUUUGAUUAGAAUUAAUAUGCCACGGUUAUAAAUAUUAGGGUUAUAGUCCCCAAAUUAUACAUAAGAUAUCUUUUCUAAUAUUCCAUCAUUAGGAAAGAGAUAGCAGAUAUUCUCUGAAUUUUUUGUGUGCUAAUUUGGAAGAUCAAAUUCCCAAGAUCCAGAAAGUUUCAAGAAAUCCAUGGAUUCAGGUACGCUUUCACAUAUAGUUUUGUUACUUAUUUAUUCUUGAUAAUUUGACAUGAUAGAUCCUGGUUUAUUAAGUUUUAUUUUAGAUUUAUUUUAUAAAUCUAACAAGUGACAUCCGAGCUUUGUUAUGUUGAAUCAUUGAGAAUGAAUUGAUUCUUUAUUAAUUUUGGAUUGAUUCGUUUUUCUUUUUUAGUUUUAUGGAUUUGAUAUUUUAAUUAUAUAUUAUGUUGAAUCUUUGAGAUUCUUGAUGAAUUUUUGGGUUUUGAUUCUUUAAAUAAAGUUUUAAGCUUUUAUAAAUAUAAUCUAGUUUAAUAUUUACAUAUGCUAUUCGAAAGAUGAAGGUUUAUUUAUUUAUUUAUAAUCAAUUGAUAAAAAUUGAUUUGUGAGAUUUCUUUCUCUUAUUUUCACACAAUUAUUUUAUAAAUUUUGGUUAAAGUCAUUAUUAAAUUAAAAUUUACUUACAACUUUUUUACAAUUGAAGAAUUCCAAUUGGGCUGUAUAAUUGAUUUUGAAAGUUAAUUCACUUGAUAAUCGAAUAAAUGAAUGUUGGUAAGAUAUUUUUUUUCGCACUAUUUAUUUUAAAUUUUCUGUUUGUAAUUGAAUAUAUAUGGAAUCAUCAUCCUUUAUCUUUAUUUAUGAUGAAUUAUAUUCACCAUAGAAUUCAAUUCAUAUGUAUGAUUGAUUACUUUUGGUUUCUUUUAUAAUUAUUUUAUGUAAGUUUUAGUUUUUAUGGAAUCUGACUAGAAUUAAAAUAUUUGGGAUUAUUUUUUUAAAUAUGAUGGCUAUGAAUUUUCAUAGGUAGUUGCACAUAUAAAGGCUUUUAUAUAAUUUGAGAUUCUUUUUAUAUUUUGUGGUUAUAAAUUUUUUAUUUUUUUUAGUAUUUGUGCGUAUAAAGAAGUUUUUAUGAUAAUGUCUUUAGUUAUGAAUAUAAAUUUAAGUUUACAUGAAAUAUGUAAGGCAAGCCAGUAUUAUUUUUAUAUUUGUGUGUGUAUAUAUAUUAUAUGCAUAUCAAUGAUUUUAAGGAUUAAUGCAUGAUUAUAGUUUGUAUGAACAGGUGUUUAUAACCAUUAUUCAAUAAGAUAUCUUUUAUAGUUUAAUUGGUGAAAUUAAGUUUUGAUGGAUAUCAUUGAAGUUUUUUUUUUGUUAUCGUUAUAUAUUCAAUUUUAUGGGUUUGGUGCAAAUUCAUGUCAACUAUAUACAUAUUUAAAUAUUUUGGUUUUAAAUUUGGUUAUAUAAUCUUAGGUUUUGGCAUCUUAUGGUUCCAAAUAUUUGGUUAAAUUAUGAUGAUAUGAUUUAUUGUAUGAAUUGUGAGAUAUGCCAACUAUUAUGAUUUUUUUUUUGAGAUUUAUUGGCUUGAAAAUAUUUUUCAAGUAUUUAUGUGAAUAUCUCUUUAAUCAUAAAUAUAACUUUGGAUUUACAUGGUAAAUUCAGGGUAAGUUUUUCUAUUUGAUUAUGAAUACAUGUAUAUGCGUGAAUUGCUUUGGUGCUUUUAUCCAUGCUAAAAUUAUGAAUACAUGUGCUUGUUAAUUAUUUGGCUUUAAAACACUAUAUUAUUUCUGUUUGGUUUUGAUAUAUAUGAUUUUGGAACAAAAAAAAUAGUCAAAAAAAAUUAAAGUUUUCGGUUUUUUAUUGCAUUAUUAAAACAACCUUAUUUUCGGUUAUUUCAGAGUCUAUAAAGUAAUAAAAAAAUAGUUUUGACAUUUGACUAUUGGAGAAUUUAAAUUUGAAUAUUGGUAUGUUUAUAUAUAUUUUAAAAUAACUUAAUUAAAGCAAAAAGUCACCAAAGUGAUUUUUUUUGUAUAAAUUAUUUUAUUUUAAAAUAUAAAAAUUUGUGUGCAUGUAACUUAAGUUAUGUUAAUAUUGAUUGGCCCAAAUGAAGGUUAAUAAUAUUACAUGUGCAAUUAUGGUGAUAAACAUGUGACGAUUAUUCGGUUUUACAUGUGAGUAAUAAAUUGGCCCAAAGGAAGAUUUAUUAUUCGACAUGUUCUUAUUGUCAAUGUUUGAUUACUCCACCAAUAUAUCACUUACAAGUUAAUAUUUUGUCCAAAGAUGAUGUAUAGAUAUGUGUACCAUACCGAAGAUGAAUUUCCUGGCGAAAUAUCUCAACCGGCUGCUAUUAUUCAACAAAUUACGGACUGGCUGAAAUUAAUAAAUUACCAUGGUUGCCGCCUGCUAAUAGGGCGAGCAGCGUAAUGGAGUCCCCCGGACGGACGACGUGAGCGAGAGCCCAGACCAUAGCGGCUUUAAAGACUUCUCUCUCGGCUUUAACGGCGACGAAAACGUUGUCCGAGAGGCUUUCCUUUCUGCUUUACUGUGGUUUACCCAUAACCAUCAGCGGAAUCUUGAUAUGAGGUUUUCCUUUAUUCAAAUUAUUUUAGUUUAAAUUUAAAGUCUUAUGCCAGAUUAUUUUGAUUUAUUCAGCUAUUAUUAUAUUUGCCUACAUCACUGUAUGUUUUUUUGGGAUAAAUAUAUAUAAAUAUAUAUUAUUAUCUUUUAAUUUGAUUGAAAGAUGAAAUUAAGGUAAUUAUUUUGAAACAAAUAAAUUUAAAUUUUGGCUUUUAAUUAAGGAUGUCUAAUAUUUUAAAUAAAUUAGUUGAAACAAAAUGCCACCAAAGUGACCUCUUUUGUGUAGAUUAGUUUAUUUGAAAUAUUAAGAUGAUUAUAUGUUUUUGUGAUUCUUGCGUUUAUUAAUUGACCCAAAGGUAAGUUAAUAUUUGGCAGAAUUACAACGACAUCUGUGGUGAUAAAUAUGUGACAAUUAUAAGGUAUUUUAUGUGAGCAAUAAGUUAGUCCAAAGAUUAAUUCAUUGUUUGACAUAGUUUAUUGUCAAUGUUUGAUUGCUACAACAAGAGUAUCGCUUACUGUUAAUAUUACUGUCCAAAGACUUGAUAUUAAUGUUGUGUUUGGUGUCUUGAGAUGGGAUUAGCCAUUAUCCUGAAUUUAUUGUUUACUUAUAAAUAUUGAUGUGAGCUUAUUUUUUAUUCUAUAUUCAAUUAAUUCAUCUUCUACUGCCACAAUAUCUACUAAUAUAAAUUCUAUACCCAUGCUUAAUGGGACUAAUUUUAAGGAAUGGAAAACGCACUUACUUAUAGUGCUUGGUUGUAUGGACAUAGACCUUGCACUAAGGGAAGAACAACAUGCACCUCUCACUGCGGAAAACACCCCUUAUGUUAAGAGGGAUUUUGAGAGGUAGCAUCGGUUCAAAUUGCAUGAGUCUAAUGAUCAUGAAGCACAACAUUUUAGAAGCCUUUAGGGACAUAGAAUCUGAAAAGAUUACUCAGGCCAAUGUUUCCUUGACGAAAUUGAGAAAUGUUUUGCUAAAAACGAUAAAGUUAAAAUGACAUCAUUUCUAACUUCUUUGAUGUCUAUAAAGUAUAAGGGUCAAGGAAAUACUGAGCGAUCUAAGGGCUAUGAAUUUUAUGAGCCCACAUUCUUUUAGGAUGUUGAGUUUUGGAGGGAGAAAUAAUGUUAGAGACAUUGUUUUUAAGGAGGAAUUAGAUUUUAACUCAGUUCCUACUAUCACUUUUGAUGAUGUUUAGGUUCUCAUACCUAUCAUUGAUUAAGAAGUGAAUCUAGAACCUCAAUAAGACAAUGUUAAACAACUCCCUAUUCAAGAUGAGAUAAUUGUUCCAGAAGAACAAACUCAACAACCUCAAGAAUGAAUGUUAUUAAAAAUGUCCACUAGGGAAAGGAUUAUAAUGGCUUUAGUGGAAUAUUUUGACAUUAAGCUACAUCAGAUGAAUAUUAAGUUAAUGGUUUCUCAAUGGUAUCAUUGAUCAUACAUUUAUAUUGUGCAAUUAAAAAUCUUUGUGUUUGAUGAUGCAAAGGUAAUGAUUUGCAGAUUAAAGAACUUCAUCUAUGUGCUUAAGUAAACUUCUCGUCAAUAAUAUUACAAAAUUUACCAAAUGAUUAUCUCAUUCGAUUUAGAGAUGAAUUUUGUUGAUAAUCGUAUAUACCAUAAGUUUAGUGGGAGUAAGGUUCUAUAUUUGGUUUUAUAUGUUAAUGACACACUGCUUGUCAAUAAUAAGUAUAGCCUCAAUCAAUGCCCUAUGAAUGAUUUUGAGAUUACAAAAAUGCAUAAGAUUUUUUACAUUUUAGCAAUGGAAAAUAUAAUGUACAUUCAGGUUUGUAUACAUUGGAAUAUUGUGUAUAUUAUUGGGAUGUUAGGCAGAUAUUUUAAGCAACCCUGGUUUGGACCAUUGGAUAGCAUCCAAAAGGGUUAUAAGGUAUUUUUAGAGAACAAAAGAUUACAGGCUCACAUAUCAGAGAUCUAAUUAGUUAGAGAUCAUCAGGUAUAUAAACUCCGAUUUUGAUGGAAUAUGGAUACAAGAUUUUGACAUUAAGGUGCAAAUUGUGAAAACAAAUUGCAGUCUUUUAUUCUAAUAGUAACAGGAGCACAUUAAAGUCAAAACACAUAGACUUUAAGUUUCUGGUUGUUAAAGUAAAAGUUUAGAGUGGUUAGGUGCUUAUAAAGCAUAUUAGGACAAACUCCAUGAUUGCGAAUCCGCUUACUAAGGAACUACACCUAAGGUUUUAUAAUAGUACAUUGCUCAUAUGGGUGUAAUGUCAUUUAAAGGAUACUUGGUUUUAGUGGGAGUUUGUAUUUUUAAAUGCUUUUAUGUUAUAGACACAUUUUUAGUUAUUUCAGUUUAAAGAUAAUAAGUUUAUUUUCUGCAGAAAUAAAGUUUAUUUGGUUUAUUCACACUCUGAUUUUGGUAAGGUUUGAUCUCACUAAGGAGGACCAGUUGGAAAUAGACAUGUUUAGAUCAUAUUGCAUGUAAUUUCCAUGCUACACAUCCAUACUUAAUCUAUGUCAUUUGGUUGUGUUAAUAUAUGUGAUCAUGGAUGGAUUUAGUUACGAUAUAUGUAACGAAAGUCACCUUGGUUCUAUGUUAACAUAAUUAAUGGACGAGAUUGUUGGUAUACCUUUUGGAUAUGAUAGUAAAAUUUUGAGCUCAUAAGGUUAUAUAAUGACAUGUAAUUAUAGAGUAAUUAGUAUAUAUAUGUGGUCCAAGUGGGAGAUUGUUGGAAAAUAUGGACAUCACAUAUAUAAUAAGGGUAAUUACAUGUUAUUAUUUACUAUCAUGAUAGGUUAGCCCAAAUUAAAAGUGAUCUAAUUUUGUUAAAAUUUUAUUGGGCUGUAAUUAUUAAAUAAAGUAUGGGUCAAAUAUGUGUAGAUACUCUAGUAAUUCAAUUCUAAUCAAAUUCUAAUUAAUGAUGGGCUAAUUAGAAUUUAAUUAGAAUUAAUAUGCCACAGUUAUAAAUAUUAGGGUUAUGGUCCUCAAAUUAUACAUAAGAUAUCUUUUCUAAUAUCCCAUCAUUAGGAAAGCGAGAGCAGAUAUUCUCUAAAUUUCUUGUGUGCUAAUUUGGAAGAUCAAAUUCCCAAGAUCUAGAAAGUUUCAAGGAAUCCAUGGAUUCAGGUACGCUUCUGCAUAUAGUUCUAUUAUUUAUUUAUUCUUGAUGAUUUGACAUGAUAGAUCCUAGUUUAUUAAGUUUUAUUUUAGAUUUAUUUUAUAAAUCUAACAUGCCUUCCAUAUAAAAAGCAUGUUGAACUCUUUUUGGCAUCAAAACAAUACCACUUCAAUAUUUUUAAAACUGGAUCGAUCAUUAAAUUGGGUCAAACUACUAAUUUUCAUCUUCAUAUAGUCGUAUAUUUUGAGUAUGCACAUAUGUAUUUAUAUUGUGGCAUAUGCAUGGAUAUGUGUGAUUAUAAAUUUCUAAAUGAUGUAUAUUUGUGCUCACAUAUAGUUGUGUGUAUAUACAUGUAUGUGUAUCAAGAUGAUGUUAUGUAUAGUCGUGUGUGUUUGAUUAUAUAAUAUGUUGAUGUAGGUAAAAAUAUCAUGGGGUUUAUGUAUUAAAAAUCGAAUUGUAUUCCGUUUCUUCUAUUCAAAAAAAGAAAAAUUAACUCUUGUAUGUUAAAAAAAAAGUGCAACCUUACGUUAAAUAAUUCACCGUUAAACGAUGACAUAAAAAAAAACAUGUAAAUACAUGAAGGCUUCGCGUAUGCCUCAUGUUGGCGUGGAAAUAUUUAAACAAAUUAAAAAAAUCAUAAAAAUAAAUUAAACAUAAUUUUAUAAUUAUUUUAAAAACUACCUCUAAGAUUAAAAUUUAUAAAAAGUUUUAAAAAUGAUAAAAAUGAUGUCCAAAUGAACCUGAGAUAAUGAUUGUUCAAGCUAGAAUGAAUCUAAACAACCAUAUGUCCAAAUUCAUUUUGAAGUGGUUUCUUAAAUUAUUCACAAAUUAUUAAGACUUAGAUUCUUAAAAAAGUUAUUUAAUUUUUAAGAUUUUUUAAGUUUUUAUAUAUUUACUAAUGUGGCAAAAGGCCAUACAAGCAUGAGGUACACGUGGUACAUUAUGUGUUUUAAUUCGGUUGCUCCGUUAAUCACGUCAUCACUAAACAAUAGAAAUAAAUUAAAUUUUUAAUAGAAGGUCAAUUUAUUUUCUAAUAUAACUUAUAUAAAUUAAUUUAUUAAUUUUAUUAAUGUAAUAUGCAAUCCACCUCCUAAUAUAUAAACUACUUUUAUGAUAAACUACUUUUAUGAUAGAUAUAUGUAGGUGAAAGCUUAAAAAUGAUAUGUUAUGUUUGAACAGUGUUGUGACAAUUCCAUUUUGCUUCAUUGCUUAUUUAUGUCAUUCACUCAUGGCAUCUUUUGUAUGUGCAUGUGUAUCGACUUGUGUUGAUGUUGUUAAAGCAUUUGUUUAAUUGAGAUUAAUGGGUAUUAAAAUGUUUUUUUUUUUAGAAAAAUAAAGCAACACUCGUGAAUUAAUUCGAUGGGAUUCUUUCACCAUGUUAGGUGGGAUUUUAUUAGUUUAUUAUUAUUAUUAUUAUUAUUAUUAAAAACAUGAUGUCAUUUUCUAAACAGAGUCUUCUUAUAUGAAAACUAUUUUUUUGAUUCUUUUUCCAUGCUAAGAUAUACUCAAAAAUUAUUUUGAAAUUUUUAAUUCACUAAAAUUGUUUUUUAUUAUAUCAAAUAGUUUAAUGAUUAAUAAGGUACAACUUAUAUGAGUAUUAUAAUUUUAGAUGUAAUCGAUUUACAAACUCAAAAUUUUCCUAAAUGUGCACAUAUCCUAAAUUUAUCUAUUUAAAAGAAAAAUAAAAAUCAAAAGGUAGGUACACAAUCGCAUCUAAUAAAACAAAUGAACGAGCAAAACGCAAAAUUUCCAAAAUCAUAUGGAAUCAUAUUGCACUAAGUCCUAACCCACUUGAUUUGUCCUUCACCUAACUACAAGUUGAAGGCUCGACUCCACCACCACUACCUACAUAUACAUACAUAGGUUGUUGAUCCUCAAUUUAGACAUUCCAAAUUUUACGGGGAUCUAAAGAAUCAGAUUUGGCAAGCAAACCAUGCUUAAAAUCAGGCUCUUUUGGAGGUUGGGUUAAUGGCCCAUUGCUUUGCCACUUGUUCUUUUCUUAUUGAAAGACUAUGCCAUUUAACGUAGAGAAAAUAACCUUUCACAAAGUCAAUUAUUUAUUAUUUCUUUCAUUUUUGGAGGUAGUUAAUCUUCCUCUCAUAUCUCAUUGUUGGAUGUGCAAGAGUUGGGGAAAAAAACACUAUAUUUAGAGUAUUUAACGUUGAAGCUAUUUGCCAAUCACGAUAUUACUUUAGUAAUAAAUUUGUGUGUUUCCAGUCAAUUGUUUUACAAAUUUUACAAUUAUGUUGAGACCUGAUUAAGGGUGAUAAGCUUUAAAUAGUAAAAUAGAUUAUGUUUAUACUAAUAUUAAGUGUUUAGAUGAGUUCCAUAUCGCAAGUUAAGUGACACCAACUCAAUUAUUAAAUUAAUAAAAGAAUCUUAAAUUUAAUUCAUACAUUUAUAUAAAUCUAUUCACAUUUAAAAGAACUACCCACUUAUUCUUUUAAAACACUAAAAUGUCUAUUCUUGUAGAACAUUUUUGUUUGCUCUUAUAGCAUGGUUUUUUUCUUGAAGCCUCAUUCUUUUUUUUUAUUUUCCUCAUUUUUUUACCAACCUCUAAGAAAGGUUCAUAAUGAAAAAUGAUAUAGUAGGUUUAAGCAUUAAGGAUGGUGAGGAGGAGGCAUGGCAAGUUAGUUCGAGAGAGGAUUAUUCAAGUCCAAACUAUAACCUUUUGUUUAGUCAGUAGUUUUCUAAUCAUAAGUAUUGUCCAUUUCCAAUCAAUGUGUGAUGGCAUGUUUAUUUUACAUAUUUUACGUGUUCAGAUCAUUUAAUUCUUGAAAUAAUUCCUACUAAAAUUAAAUUCUAUCACGAACAAAAUUCAGAUGCUUUAAUUUAAAAACAAGCAGAAAAGGAUUAAAUUGGAGCACAAGCAAUAAAAGAGGGGCCGAAUUAGAAAUUUAGAGAAAUUUAAGGGUUGGUCAUAUUUUUUAUUUUGUAAAAGUCAUAUUUAGCAAAAAAUCUUAUAUGAAUAUAAUUUCAUGUAACUGGCUGUUAGGUGAAUUAAGCUAAGUUUAGUACAUGAUAUAUAUAAAUAAGGUGUGUCGUAACCUUUAAAAAACACACUUGAAUACAUUGGAAAUUGAAUGAAAUUAUUUUUAUUCAUUUCUAUUUCAUGCCUCUAUAGCCAUUUCUUUUUCAUAAGGAUUGUGCCAUUUUUUUUUCAUUUCAUUUUUCUUUAUUUUUACAAAUUUGUUUAAUUAUUUUCCAAGACUCUUCCCUUUCCAUCUUCCAUAAUUUCCAUUAAAUCCACUUUCAUACUCCACUAAACUUCUACUUAGUUUCAGGACGGUAUUCUUUCCGAUCAAGAAUCAUGAGAAACUGAAUCCGUACUGAAAAUCUUACAUAACUGUAUUUACCAUCUCUCUAGAAUAUGGGUUAAAUUCAAUUCAAAAAGCAUGGUUGGGUUGGAGUUGUCUAAUGUACAGUUGGGAAGUCAAGUCGGUCGUGUUGUAUUCGAAUUCCUGCGAACAAAUUGGUGUAUCCUGGCUGGGUCAUACUAGAAGGAUUUUCGUCAAGGGAGAUAGUGAUCGGAUUUAAACGACCCACGCGGUUAAGGCCGUUGAUCCGAGCCGGGUUCUUCAGAACACAACGCUGCCACAGUCUUGAAUUGCAAACGCAUGUAUCGCGGUUAAACAAUAAGUAAGGGUUGGUUUGCAGGUCGUACUGGAAUCAACUACGAAAGGAAGAAUUGGCGAUUAGGUGUUAUUAGCUGCUAUAACCAUCUUAUUGUUUGGAGGAGAAAACUCAUUUUCAAGGGUUGAUUUAGAACUAGAAUUAACCAAGUCUAAGGCUAAGAAUUUAUAUUAUUGUUUACGAAGUUCAACUCAUUUACUUCCUUUAUUUUCGAUUAGUAUAGUUGUUAUUUGUUACUAUUUGAUUUUAUUUGCUUCCCAAACAUUUUCACUUCCCCCUUUAUUUACUUUAUUUUAUCAAGCUCGUCACUAGUCGUGGGCACGACUAUUAUCACAACAAUAAUUUUGCUCACAAGAAAAGGCAAAAUUAGACAACCAAUUCCUAUAGAAUCGACCCUAUUGCUCUAUAUUGCUAAUUCGCAUUAUUUUGUCAUAGGAAUUUUUAUUUGGUGGUUUUUACGCCCAUCAAUGCGCAAUACUUUAGUUAAUACACGGUAUUCUAUUGGUGGCAUUGGUAUUAUCAAUAUAGGGGAGAAAAAUUUUUGUUCAGGUUCCACUAGGAAGUGGAUUUAGAUAGGGCCAUCGAUGGUGAUCUUAAUACGUUUAAUAAUAAUCUUCUGGUGAUCCAUAGGCUAUCUGUUGGAAAAUCGGGUUUGAAAAACAUAACAAAAAAUAAGUUUAAGGGAAAAAUAAGAGUUUUAUUUUUUUCCCAAAAAUAAGAACUUGGUUGUGAGAUCUAAAGCAAUAAACAAUUAAUCAAAUUACAUUUUCGAUUCAUCUGGGAUGAACGCUUCAACGUACUAUUCUCCACUAUCCUCAAGCUCACGUCUGUCGAGUGUGAGCUUGCUUCGAAUUAGAAAUUUUUUCACAAAAUUACCUAUGACGUAAUUUCACAAUUUCUCUAAAAUUUUAGGUCAAGUUGUAAAUAAGAAAAAUAUCUCUAGAAAUCUUCUGAAAUAAUUUCUUUAGAGAAUUUUCUCUCUACAAUUUUUUCGUGAAUUUAAGUUUGUGAAAAAUAAUUACCAAAGACUCUCUUUAUAUAUAGAGAGUUUAAAGAGUUCAAUUAAGAUCAAACUUAAUCACUUUAAUAUUAAAUAUAUUAAAUUAAUAGAAUAUUUAUCUACAAGAUAAAUAUUAAAUUAAAUCCAAUAUUAAGAUAAGUAUUAAAUUAAAUUAAAUAUUAAAUUUAUUAAAAUAUUAUUAUUUUUGGAAUAGUUAGUCUGAAAUCAAAUUAUUCGGUAGAGUACCAGUAAGAGUGUGAUUCUUCCAUUGCUCAACCGUCAAAGAACCACCAUCGUCGAUCAUUUUUCAGCCAUCGAAAUUGUCGUUGUCGCAACCGCCAGCACCAACGUGCCCAAUGGUGUCAUCACAAGCGCGACACCGGUUCGUUCUGAGCUAGUGACGACCUAACCAAUCCAAUCCAGCCACCAUUUGGAGGCUAGGUUUCACAUAUCGGGUCUGAUUUGACCAGUUUUGGGUCUCAAUAUUUGGUUCUCGAUUCUAGUUUUCUAUCUCAAAUCCAAUUUUCAAGAUCAAUUACCUAUUGGGCCAAUUGUCUGACUUGAAAAUUAAUUUCCAAAAAUAUCAUAUUUAUUUUAAUUAAUUUGAUUUAUUUAAUUUUGCUUUAUUAAAAUUAAUUUUCCCAAAAAUCAUUGAGAUUUUUCAAAAUUAAUUUUUUAAGAAAAUUCUUUAAUCAAAUUCUCUACUUGAACAAUUUUCACGACUGUCCAAUUUAAUUCUAUAUCGAAUAAAUCGACUCAAUUAAAUUAUUUCUAAAGUUGUAAAAAAAAAUUUCUAUUUCAAAUAUAGUUCGAUCGAGCUUUUGUUAAGUUAGCGAAGGUACUAAUCUGACAUAUACAAUUAGGCUCUAGUAAUUGCAAUUAUGUCCAGAAGCAUCAUUCCGAUAAUUCGCAAUUUACUUAAUCAUGGAGUCAGUCCAUAAGAAGUACCAUGAUCGAAAACUUCCUAUUGUAUAAUUUUUACGAAAGCAAUUCAUCCAACAGCUUUAUCUAAUGACCACGUCUCGUGUGUGUUACCUUCAUAUGAUAUCUUUGAUUCCUUUGAAUUAAAUUUGUCUACUCAAUAAAAUCUUAUUUUAUCUCAUUAUCAUCAUUGUAUCUUCUUAAUGAUUAAUAUGAUCACUGUUAACAAAUGACUGUGAUACAUUGCUCGUUCGAGAAUAAGCAACCCGUGACCAUGUUCCAUAUUUAUCAACUCACACAAUGCCCAUGAGAGGAUACUGUUAACUCUUUAAUCGAGUUAUGAAUUCUAUUGUUGCUAGUAAAGUCACGCCAUACACAAGUCAUAUACCCAACAUUUUGGAUAUGCCAUAAUCUAGUAUAUAUUUAAAUAUUUGAUUGAGUUGGUGUCACGAGUUAAUCGAACACCAACUUAAUUGUGAUAUGACUAAAAAAAUUUCUACUUAAAAAGUAACAAAUAUUAUUAUCAGGGGCAAAGCUAGAACAAUUUUUUAGGGGGACCGGAUGAAAUUUUAAUUUUUUAUAGUUUAUAUCUUUAUAAUUUGUAAAUGAUUAAAUUGAAUUUUUAUAAUUUUAGGGAGGCUAAAGUGCAAUUUAACAUUUACUAAUUUAAAAUUUUUAAAAAAAAUUAAAGCCUAAAUAGUAAUUUUACAUUUUAGGGGGGGUCGAGGCCCAUGCCAGCCCCCUGCCUUCGCCCUUAAUUAUUAUAAGUAUUUGUUUUUUUUUUGUAAAAUCUACAAAAGCAACAAUAGCCCCUGCCUUCGCCCUUAAUUAUUAUAAGUAUUUGUUUUUUUUUUGUAAAAUCUACAAAAGCAACAAUUUAGACUAAAAAUAAAUCCAUAAAUGAUGCGACUUAAAUAUAGGAUACCAAAAUUCCCAAAGCAUAAAAUUUACCAUUUGGAGCAAAACAUUUUUUGUGUUUUUGCUUAAUCCACAAAUUGGUUCCUAAAUUAUAGUAUUUUCCCAUCUUGGUGCUUAAACUUUGUUUUUGUCAUAAGUUGCAUCUAAACUACUUUUUUCUACAAGUUGAUACCUUCCUCGAUCAAAUAGUUAGUCAAAUUGUUAAGUCUAUUUUAAAAUAGGUUUAAUAUACAAAUUAGUACCUAAACAUUUUUUUUUAUCACGAGUGGUACCAAAAUUAUUUUUUUCAAGUUGAUAAUUUUGUUAGUUCAAUCAUUAGUUAAGAUUGUUAAGUCUAUUUUUUUUAAAAUAUAACCAAUUAAAAAGUUGACACGUGGCAAAAAAGAAAAAAUAUUUUUUUCUCUUAUAAAUCUUUCUCUUUCCCUUUUUCUUUUUCUUUCUUAAGAAUUAGACCAAUGGUUGAAUUAGUCAUGCCACUAAUUCCUGAUUCAGUUUGUCUGAUUCAAUCAAAUAAAUUAUAUUAUUAUUUAUGUUAUUAUUUAAGUUUUUAAUGAAAUAUUCCAUUCAUCAGUAGCAUUUGAUUUAUGUUAUUAUUUAAGUUUUUGUUUAAGAUGAUUCACACAAAUCAAUCGGACAUAAAUUUAGCUAGAAAUUAAUUAAAAAUUUAUUAUUUUUACAAAAUAAUAAAUAUCAAUAUAGUGAUAUUUUUUUAAUAGACUAUUCAUUCCUUGAUGGUCCUCUCACCGAUUCGGUAGCAGAGGAUUUUCGAAGAUUCUCGGGUCAUUUUUGUAGGAGGGGUGGAAGAACAAAGGAAAGAGCAUCAAUUAUUCAUUUUUUGUAGGAAUCAAUGGGAAAAUCUGAAAUUGCUCAAGUGGGCUCUUCGGUGUAAUUUAGUCAAUCGCCUCUAAAAUAUCCUGUGGAAUUCGUAGGAAAAGCGUAAGAAUAAUUAAGAUUCCAGACAGAAUCCGAAAAUUAUCUUACGGACAGCCAUGUUGGUGGCAACUGCAGAUGAUUAGUCUGCAUGUUUACUUCUAAUUCUAAUUUACCAACCAAUUCGGAUUUUACAUCCUCAAGAGAAUCCAUAGCAAUUCAUUUUUCAUUUUUAUCCAUCCCUUCCAAUCCUGUAAGUCUGCUUGCUGCUCGCCCCUCUCUCUAAAGGGGCUUAUGUGUUUGAAAUUUCGCUACAAAGGAAGCAUUGUUACGAUCCAAGCCGACAACGAAGUCAGACUAUCUGCUGAGGAGGAGAUUAUUAACAUUGUGAAUAACCUUUCGCCGACUGAGGUGGAAGAAACCAUUGGGCCAUUCUCCGGCUAUCGAUUUCGAUAUGGAACUGCCCGUCUAUUGAGACGGAGAUUAAGCUUUGUUAUGUUGUGUACAGGCGCUCUUUGUUAACCCGUCUGGUGUGCAGCUGUAUGCCUGUGUAGGUGGUCCCCACGCGGGGAGCUCUUGGGCUUUUUUCGCUCGACCGCACCUACAUGAAGGAAGGUUUUUCUAAUUGAAUGCAUGGGUGGGUUUUCCGACUGGAUUGGGUUUGUGUCCUGUGACUGGCCUUUCUCUUGUUGUUGUGGAUUGCGUGCCCUCUUAGGAAAGGGCAGGAGAAGAGGAAAGAAAGAGUCAUUUUUUAAGGCUCUGUAAACACAAUCAAUAAAGAGUUUCGUUAGCGGUCUUCGAUUUUCAGAUUCGGUUUAGUGAGAAUAGCUCUAGUCUGAGAGCUUAAGCUAUUAGUUUAAAAGAAAAGUAUGGGCAGAGACUUUCUCUUUUCUUUAACCACAAUAGGGUUCAAGCCUACCGCGCAGAAAACAGAGAACAAGCAGGAGCAGAGCAGUCCACCGGCCAUCAAUUAUUUACUUACCUUGCCCGCGUUAGGAGAGGAGUGAACGGAGAAAAGAAGAGUUGUACCGAAGACUUUCUCUUAGCAUACAAGACAGAGUUCCCUUAGCCAUGCAGUGAGCGGUACUCCGUCAAUAGAGUCGACAAAGCAGUCAGAGGUAGUUACAAGUGAGAUAGAUAUGUAACUAACCUUGGUCCUCUUGUGAAUUGUGAAAUAUGUGCUAUUGAAGAAAUAUGUGUUAUAAAAAAAUAUAUGUUACAAAGCCAAGAUCGAGAACAAAGAAACUUGGUUCGAGAUCGAUAAGGAAAUGAAGCGCUGGGGGGGCUGUGGCCUCUGAAACCCAAAAGCGGCAGAAUGGAAUGGAAAAGGGGUGCUUUGGAUCGGGAGUAAGCACUAGUUUUAGGGCGGGGGGAAGGAAAAAUUUUCAAGAAGAUCUCGGGCUCGAUCUGGUUUUAGUAUCAAGGUGAUUCUAUUUUUGUUCCUAAAUAUAUGGGUCCGUGCAGCAUUUCCACGAUAUCGUUAUGAUCAAUUAAUGGGACUUGGCCGGAAAGUGUUCUUGCCUCUAUCAUUAGCUCGGGUAGUCCCCGUUUCUGGUGUUUUGGUCACCUUUUAAUGGCUCCCUUAAUUAUGUGCGAGGAAUUUCCCUCUUGAGUAAUGGGAAGCGGGCUAGUCCCCGAAAAUGCCCGUUCGCUUGUCGUUGGGGCUAAAAAUAUUCCUUGUUCGUUCACUGAGUGAAUUGACUGCCCCCUCCCGUGGAAGUAGAAGCUAGAAUAGGAGCUCUUUCACCUAGAAGAUCAACCACUGAUGGAUCAAAUAGAACCGGAUAAACUACUCGAUCAAUGGUUUCCGAAGAACCCUAGGCCACAUCUGGCCUGACUGCUUCCUCCACUAAUUGCCGGAAGAAGCCGGCCGUAAAAGAAAGAUCUUCUACUUCAACCUGGCUUCGGUUGACCCCCUGUCGGUGGUAGUAAGAGCAGAGUCUUAGGUUGGUGCUUGAAGUAAGGGUCAUCAAAGAGACGGAUUUCCUUUUUUGGAUUUGGUAAUCUAGCUAGACUUCCUGGUAUUCCAGUUUCUAGAAAGGGAGACAUGGCUAAUAAUAAAUAGUGCAGUAGCAAUAAAUGCUCGGUACUUCCAUAAUCUCAUCAUCUUGUUUUUUAUAUCCCUUCCCAGUGUCGAAUCACAAGAAGUUGGAGCGAAUCUUUGAUCUUUUAUUAGUAUUCCCCUUCCUUAGACUGGGACACAUACAUCGAGAAUCCAGUGUGCAAUUCAUUUUGAUAAGAUAGAUAGAUUGUCCCCAAUUAGUCAUAUAGGUUACACUAAAUCGGAGCUAGAAUAAAGGGUAGGUUGAAUCUUAAAAGUACCCUGCCGGGUACGGGUAACUAUGUUAAGUUAAUUACGUAUCAAAAAAAUCAAUUUUAUAUGCUCCUGGGAAAAAAAUUGUGCUACUCUAUUCGAUGGAUCAGGAACAAUCGAAAAAAGCCAGACCAGUACGGUAUCUCUUUAAAUCCUGAAUAUGGUGAUACCCCCGAUUGUACUAACCUACAUAUGUUUCUCCUCCAUCAAUCGGUACUAGUUAUUGUCAUUUGGAUUCCUUGACUUUCUUUGUCCUAUGAGAAAUGCGAAACGAAAGAAGGCUGGGAAUUAGAUCCUACUCUUUGUCUCUUCUUUUCUUUUUACAGAAAAUGAAGAGAUGAAUUGAUCGAUUCAUCGGAUCCUAGGUCGGGACUGACGGGGCUCGAACCCGCAGCUUCCGCCUUGACAGGGCGGUGCUCUGACCGAUUGAACUACAAUCCCAGGAAAAUUAGGUGUACAGCCUCAAAACUAUUAUUAUUUUUCUUAUUUUAUUGGAUUUCAUUCAAACCAUUUAGUUUCGCCGUGUUGUAACAGAGACACGAAUGAUAUACUUACUAUAUUAUUAUAAGAAAAUAUAUCUUUAUAAAUAUAAAUGCAGUAAAGUCAUAGUGGGCUAAUUCAUGAAUUGAAUCAAAUGGGCCCUUUAACUAAGCGGUAGAGUCGCGCUCUUUAAACGCCCUAAGAAAUAGGCGUAAGUCGUCGGUUCAAAUCCGAUAAAAAAAGGGCUUUUCUAUUUUUUACGAAACUCCUGUCUUAGUCUUCAUUUUCUUUUUCAGCAGAGAAUAUAGAUAUGAAAAAAAGGUAACCGCCUGCUGAGUAGUUUUUUUUUAGUUUUUAAGUAGAAUGUUCAUUAUGAUGAUAAGUAGUCGAUUAGGAGAAUUGCUAUGUCACUUAUGGUUGUUGCCUCAUCCUCAUGUUUUUAUUAUUCAGAUUUGUUGUUUUGGGACAUAGAUAUUCUAGAUACCCAUUAUGGAAUCGAUAAAGUCUUCCUACUUCUCCAUUGUUCCAAUCAGAUUCGAAAAAUGAGAAAGAAAGAAAAAGUAAGUGGACCUAAAAAAAAUCAUAACUAUAUAAGCUAUUCUGAUAUUAAGAUUCGAUAUAGAUGAAAUCGUGGAAGUGGACCUUUGAUUUCCUUGGACUACGUAAGAAUUCGUCGUCCGAUUUCAUCUUCUUGUUCUUGGAUGCUCUAUAGGAAUUUAUCGCUAUUCCUUUCCUCCACCGAGAAAGGUUCAUUCCGAGUCACAAGAGCAAUCUUUUUUUUUUUUUUUUCAUUUUGAUUCUUUCUUUUUGUAAUGGUAAUGCAAUGCAAGAGGUCGGAAAGAAAUAUGUGUUAUUGUAACUUGGUUAGUUACACAUAUCUAUAUGUUUUAAUUCCUUUCUACUUAUAACACAUAUGCUACACCGAAAGAUGGUUCUGGAGAGAAAUCCUACCCGCAACCAUUUGCUUAUAGAAUGGUGGAGGGAGGAAGAGGUAGCAAUACAUUCCGCCUGAUGCUUGAUCACAGCAUUCGGGAUAUAUCAAAUGAGCUCUUCGAUCUAUGAUGAAUAGUUCCUUUUUUUAUAGGAUCAUAUUUCUUUCUAGUCGUAAGCAUUUUAAUUGGACCUUUCUCCUUGGCUUCCUUUUUGGAAUAUUUUCAUCCGGGAUUGGAAUGACCUAUGUUGUAACGGAGGAGAGAAGGUGAACCAGCUUCCUUCAGUCUAUUACCUUUUAAAGCGGAUCCUUAUUUUACCUUCGGCCAGGGGGAGGAAUAAGUAAGAGACAUUAGUAGAGUUCGUUCUGUGUGGGACGGAAUCCUUCCUUUCCUGGCUAUCGUAACAACUGCUCCGUACUCCUAAGGAUCUCUAUGCCACUUGUGAUUCCCAGCCAAAGAGGCGCGAAGGUUAUGAAAUAAGAGGAAACUGUACAUUCAUAAUAAUAAGUAGAGUGCUAUUACUUAUAUUAUUUCAUUUUAUCUUUCAUCUAUAAUAACAUUAUAAUAUAAUAAUAACUUAUAUAUCUUAUUAUAAAUGAUGGCUCCUCAUCCGCAAACAACGGAUAUGACUAAAAAAAUUACAGCGGCAACAAUCACUCUAACUCCAGAUAUGGAGACAUUAGCCCCUAAUGGAACACUUACAAAAUUUGAUGCACCGCUUCCUCUUAUAAGACCGCUAAUGCCGCAUCUAAGAUCACGAGAUGGCAUGAGCUUCUUCAGUCCCACAGCUCUCUUCUAUAUUUUCCUUUUUUCUAUAAGGGAAUUGGCUGCCAUCAUUCAUUCCUAUCCCAUCCUUAGGUCAAUCAACGUAAUCCCGAACAGCUGAUUCUUAAGCAGGAAGCAGUCCCGUCCUUAGGCUAUUUGCCUUGUUAGGACAGACAGAAAGAAAUCCCCUCUUCCGCUUAAGGAAUAAAGAACAGUUGAGAAUGGUCUGUUCACAUGAAAAAAUCGUCUCUUUGACACUUGUACUAUAUCUAACGUAUUCUAGCCUUCGUCGAAAACAAGCCCAAGGAAUUAUCCUCUCCCAGGAUUCUAGAGAAAGGCUUAGCCUAAAGUCAAGCUAUAGGCCGAGUCAUGCAUUUCUUUUUAGUCAUAAGUGCUCCCAUGCAGUUGUAUAGGCUGAAUUUUAUUCUAUUUAUGACAUAGGUUUCCUUCCUUACAUAGCCAGUUGUUUUAGUGCUAUCUAGUUGAAGAAUUUCUUCAACUAUUUUUCUGGGUUUUGAGUUCUAGUUGUAUAAGUGGAAAUCUCCUUUUUUGGUGAUCCAUACGAUCAAUCGAAUGCAGUCGAUAGGAGAUAAUGGGGUGCAGGCUAGUUAUCAAGAAAGACCAGAAAGUACUAUAGGCAAGCAGUUUAUAGGAUUCUUCUGGGGCAAUGAAGUCAGUAAGCAAGGAAGUUUGAAAGCAGUUUUCAAGCCAGAAGGAGCUAGGAAUAAACUAAAUAAAAGUAGGGGUUUCUUUGGGAGUUCUGUUACAGCCAAGCAAGAAACCUUUAAGCCAUUUUUGAGUUCUCUUAGGAGAAAGCUUGGGAGUUCUCUUAUACGCAGUGGGUGCCCUUUUAAAGCCUUUACAUCAGUCCCCCGGAAAAGAAAAGUCAGCCAGCUCUCUAUCUUGUUUAUAAUAAAAUGGUUGUAUUAUUAUAACUUAGAAAUUAUUUUAUCCUAUUUUUAUAAUAAUAAUUUUUAGUAAAAUAAUGAUUUAGUAAAAUCAUUCGUAUGUUCAUCGAAAGGUACAGUUAGGUGGAAUCUCGUCCUGAAGCAAAGGAUCUGUAUUAGUCAUCAAAUCCAGGGUAUGGUGGAGUAGUCCCAGUUUGCGAAGUCUCUCAUCGCCUUGAUUAAAGAGUGGUGGGUCAGGGAAGUUAAAAGGCUAGAGUAAGCAAGGUUCUUUCUCCCACGGGGAAGGUUGUCUUUUAAGCCAGUCUUCAGUCAGCCUAGGGGCCUUUGAGGAGUAGGGAAGGUGAUAGCGUAAGAUAGCAAACUGGCGCUAGAGCAAGAGUAAGGAAGUACGAUAGAGCUCUUUUCAGUCCCCUAGGAUAUUCAAAGUAGAGAGUCAGGUUACGUACUAAGCAGGCGGCCAACGCUCUAACCUAUAACCGGUCUUGAGAGUGAGUAAGUUAACCCAGUAAGGGUAGAGUCCACAAACCAUCUAAGCCUGUACCCCGCUAGCAAGUAGUUAAUAACUAAACCCCUGGGAGAAUCAAUAGAAGUAUGGAAAGAGUAGCUUCCGCUUUUGGACCUUUGAUUAAUUAACAUCUCUUUUGUUUAUUGACCUCUUAACCCUAAAAAAUAAAAUGGAGGUCAAAUUCAAACUUUAGACUGCUGUUCAAUUAUUUCAUUGUCAUUCUUGAUCUAACAAGAAUGGAAUCACGCUCUGUAGGAUUUGAACCUACGACAUCGGGUUUUGGAGACCCGCGUUCUACCGAACUGAACUAAGAGCGCUUUUUAUUUUCAUAAUAAAAACAUAAUAAUAAUAAAUUUUAUGUGACCCCAAUACAUCUUGCACAUUUCCGAGUCAGUCAAUGAAGAUGAGCUUCAUGCCGCUUGAACGAAAGAGGAAGCAGCGAUAGCAACUCGCCCUGAGGGAGAUCAACCAGCAACUAGAUUGACUGGCAUGGAGCCUGAUUCACUCGCCCCCGGAAUGUCUUCUUUUCGCCCAUUUAGUCUUCCCCCGGUUGUAGGAGCAGUGAUUGACUAUCUUUCAGAAAGUAAUAAUGCUUAAUAGAGCGAAAAGAAAUAUACUAGGAAUAUCUAAAAUAUCUAGAUAAAAUAUAGAUAAAAUAUAGAUUGAUUCCUGUUGAUAUUAUUGUUAUAAUAAUAUCUAGAUAAAAUAUAGAUUGAUUCCUGCUGGAUGCACUUGGAACGUUUAGUUCAAUUGCUGCUCACGAAAUUGUUACAUAUAGCUCGCCCUUAUAGCUUAUGGGGCACUUCACUCGCUCAACACUCGUUCUUCACUCGCUAGAGAAAGAAAAAGUAUAGAUGACUGAAAAUUUCGCUUAGAGAUCGCAACUAUAGUGGAGAGAAAAUAAGUAUAAGCAGGCACUAAAGGGGAAGCUUAGAGACGGAAUUCAAAUAUAAGAAUAGAGGAGUACGUGGGGGUGAAGUAAAUAUAACUCUAGCAAUAUAGACCGGGCCUGCUUCCCAUUCAUUCUUUUAUAAGAAUUCUCUUCGGCUGGUCAAUAGGGCGCAUCGCUUUUGCUUCUGUAAUAGAGGCGCUGUAAUAGGCGCGCUUAGCUAACGAAUAAAAACCUUGGUCCGCUUUCAUUGGUCUAGCCCGAUCAUUGCUUAUCUCUUUCUUCUCUAUCGGUGAAUUGGGGGCAAGAGUGCUUGAAGAGAGAGCUACCCGAAGGAGGAGCAGUAUACGCAGGUUUUUCUACUUAAUUAAGCUAGUUAUGCAAAGUUUUUAAAUUUGUUCACAUAGGCAGCGUGAUUGGGGGGCAUAUUUGUUGCUUCCUAAGGUAGUUAGUUCACCACACAAGCAUGUUAGUACUAAACUGCAGAAAACUAUUAAUUCAUCCAAUUCAUGCCGCAUUGCGAGAUUACUCUACCACUCUAUAAAUGGAGGCUCGAUAAGUGUCAUAGAUUAUUAUUAUAAACAAGAUAGAGAGCUAGAGCUGCGGAAUAAAUAAUAGGAGUGUUAAUAACUAUAUAUUAUGGACAAAAUAAUAGAGAUAGGGGACCAUCCUUUUGUUGCGGCAUGCUCCUCAGAUUUACAGAUUCGUAGGGGGCCUCAGGCCCUACUUAGUUGACUGACAAUGGCAAAGGCUUUCGAAACUAAGCUAAGUAGGGCCUUUUUGAAUUGAAUUUUAAGUAGUCUAUCAGUGGUGCGAAGCAGUUUUGCCCCUUUUCAGUAGGGGAGCGAAAGGUUAGACCAAUGAAAAGAGGGCUCAGGCAUAACAUAAGGACGAUAUCGGAAUGUCUGAAUCCGAAGCUCCCGCCGAUAGAAUGAGAAGUGAGGAGCCAACCUAGCUAAGGCAAUAUCCCAAAGUAAGGGCAGCUAACUGUGUAGAUAGAUGCUCUUUCCUCUUGCGGGAAAGCUAUUCCUUGAGUUGAGAUGCUACUGCUUCGAUUAGAUGGUUAGCUUAGUAGAUGCUUUCUUGUAGCUCUACCUUUUAAAAAGCACUUCUCUUGCAUUAUUGAGUUAGUUUUUUUGUCUUGUAGCUACUACCGAUAUGCUAUGCAAGUGGUAGAAGUGGUGCUAUUAAUUCAGUGCUAAGCACUCAGCUCGCUCAGGGCUUGGAAGACCCUAUCAAGUUAUUAUAAUACUGACUCAUAGCAUAACCUAUGAGUUAUUAUUAUACAUAAAUGUUAUUAUGGAGGUUAAGACUCCUAGCUUAUCUCUAUAUUAUUUACAUCUACUUAUAUUGACAUAAGCAAUUGGAUGUAUAAAAGACUAUUUACAUCUAUAAUAACAGUAAUAAUAACUAAUUUCGUAGAUGUGGGCUGGAGAGUUUUGUUCUGUCGCAAAAAAAAAAAAGACCAGGAAGUAUAAUAAGAAAGAAGUCUUUCAAUCAUUCGGCCGAUAGCUUAUCCUUCAUUUGAAGUAAGCUGGACUUCAAGUAAAACGGCAGCAAAGGGACCCACUUCACCUCUUCCCUUUCCCUGGCCAACCGAACUGCAUCUCAAGAAUGCGAUGCGGCACUAGAUUCAAGAAGCUACUAAAAUUGCGUACGCGUAGAUUAUAUAGUAUAGACUCAAGCCGCUCCAAUCUUCUAUUGCAAGUCCUUCUUCACUGGAAGGAUGGAACCCUGAUUGGUAUGCCAACAUUUUAUCUGGACUGGAUAGGUUGACCUAUUGGAAGGAAAGUCCUCUUAUCUGUUAACAGGCUGGCCUUAUUUUCAUUGAUCAGUCGGCGCCGGCAUCUCAAUGGUGAGCAAUUCUAUCCUAAAUGGUGUAGCUUCUUUCCCUCUUUGCUUAUGUUGUGCCUGUGCCGAUGCCUAUAGUUAAAAAGAAAGGAAAGACUCAAAUCUCUUCGAAUAGGAAUCCAUUUUCUGAAAGAUCCUGGCUUUCGUGCUUUGGUGAGACCUCCGAGCCCCUUUCGACGACCUAUGUUGUGUUGAAGGGAUAUCUAUAUGAUCCGGCUAAUUGGGUAAAGCCCGCGCUAGUAACAGAACCGGGGAAAGUAUACAGAAAAGAUAGUUCUAUUUCUUGAUGGGGGCCAGGGAAGGGAUAUAACUCUGUAGUAGAGUGUCAUCUUGACGCGGAGGUGGUCAUCAGUUCGAGUCAGAUUAUCCCUAAACCCAAUGUGAGUUUUUCUUUUGCCUUGCGCAUCUGAGCUGCUUUGAGUGCCGGUACUAGCAAUUGAGAUGGCAACAUUCGAAUCAGCGGUGAGAGAGGGAGCCAACGCACUGACAGGGGGAGCAGCAUGGAAAGCGAGGCUCCACACCCUUCUCCGUGGGCUUUAGGAAUCGAAACCGGACCAAGCUCGCACACAAGCCUGCUACCAAGCAAGAGCAAAAAAAGGAAUAUGUUGAUUGAAUUGGGACAGGAAACCAUCAUAAGCCAGCCAACAAGCCUAACCGUCCCUAUGUCAUCGGGGUCAGAUACCAUGUAGCCUUUCUUUCUUCCCUUCACAAGCCAAGUACAAGACAUACCGGGAGUACAAGCGCUUGACCAUAGGAAGAAGGAAGAGGACGCUGCUCUGACAUAAGUGAUUGGAAGAUAUGAAUAAUAACUUAUAUUUACAUCUAUAAUAACUUUUAUAAUAACUAAUUUUGUGACUAAUCUAUAAUGACUGAUAGAUGUAAAUAAUAACUUACAGCAAGAGAGAAUCAAAGGUACGCAGGUGAGCCCCCGAGAAAUGGACGUAUAGCCGGGGAUAGAGUUGGACCCUUUACUUCAACACUUAACAGAUUUCAUAUCGCUUACAAAGAACAUCAGGAUGAAGUCCAAGGCAAAAGGAUUCGGGCUAGUUAAGGUCCAUCCUUCAACUAAGAAAGGGCUCGCCUUUCUUUCAAGAGAGAUUUGCUCUUCUUCGAUAGAAGGGCUAUUUACUCUUGUUCUCAACUUGUGGUCGAGGUUUACAUUUUAUCGAAAUCAAAUUCUAUUAAAGAAAGCUAACAUAACGAUUGGUUAAAGAAAUCCUUACCGAUGGGACUUUUACUUCCUUUCCCAAUUGGAUGGCCUCUCGAACAUAAGGAGUGGAGAAGAAGGUGCUAUUGCUGAUGAUUCCAUUGAUGGGACUAGGUAUCCAUCCCAUCUAUCCGCUGGCUAAUAAUAACUUAUAUAUUAUUAUAAUAAGAUAAGGAUGAGUUUAUCUCUAUAUAAUAUAUAAGAUAAAAUUCUUAUAUAUUUUAUCCCAGAUGCUCUGUCGAGGAUGAGGAGCCAUCACUCUGACUAGCAGAACAGAACAAGGACCUUCUCUGAUGACGCAACCUUCAAGAAGGGAAUUCAGAAUCAUAAGACGACUUUGCAACAAAGAGAAAAAGAGUGCUUUCUUAGAAAAGAAAGAGAGAUUGGCAUUCCUCCGAUCAGCAUGAGAGCUCGAUCCAGCUGAAAGCGAUCCCUCAAAAAGUCCUUAUAAACGGGCUGCUCCUCUAUGUGCUCCGAGACCCUCUCCUUGCUCGAGGGAAGAUGUGCGGUUCUCUGCUUCAGUCGCGGGCUGAACACAGGAAUUCCAAGCAAAGAAAGAUGAUUCAGUGGAGUAAUACACUGUGUGGGACGGAGUAAGGGCCCACCUACCUUUUUUCAGGGCCAGAUCUUGAUGUAGAAAGGCAAUCUUGACUUCAGCCUUGAGGUGGGCUAACUCUUGAAGCGGAUCAAUUCCUUUGUAUCGAGGGACUGGCGAUUGUGGUGUCUUCGCAUCCCCGUAGCAGUGAAGCUCUCUCUUGUUCUGGUUGAAAGUGAAGGCGAAGGAGAGUGAAGUGAAUCAGGGGAUCUGGAUCAGGAUGCGGAGUUUGAGCUGCGGGGUGAGGGAGAGAUGUCUAUGUCUAUCCCAUCCCUUCUUUGGUUCAGUCUUUGGUAGUAGGUGCGAUAUUGAAGGAGUUCAGGGCUAAGGGCUGGAGCUUUAUUCCCGCAGAUGCGGCUUGCAACUCCUACUCGAGCUUAUGAACCUAUUUCAUACCCUUGCCCUUGGCUUGCCCUUUCUUCUGGUCGAUUGAUGAACUUGCCUUCAUUGAUGAACGAGCUUUCGUCUUUUCCUGGCGUUCUUCUCUUUCUCCCUGAAAGUGCUAUUCUUUAUCUAAUCUAUAAGGAACCAAUCUUAAGGUCUAUUGCAAUCAUUCACAUAAUAACCGAUCUUAUGUCUAAUUUUAUACAUAAAUAAUGAUUCUCUCUGACAUCUGCGUUGGUAUAAUAUAUAUUAUAUUUUAUUAUAAAAUAUACUAUCAGUCACUCAACUAAUCCACUUGUGGAGUGCUAGUGGUAUAGUAGUAGUGUGGUAGUUGAGACUCCGCCCCUAUCACUUAAACUUAAAGGCAGGCCCGCCCAAGGAAGAAAGAACAACCAGGGCUAUAUUCGUGCAACAGCGCUUACAGCAGCUCGUAGCUAUUGUAUGCAUGGGAGUGACGAGGUAUUGAUUGCACUUUUUUUAGAAGCUCAUUGUUUCUCUCGCGGUAGUGCGCUUACGGCGUGCUUCCUUUCUCUCUGUUGGGUCAUUCUACAUACGGGCUAGUCUUUUAUUAGAAAUUCUUUCUCUCCUUUCUUUCGGAGCCAUUUCCUUCGCCCUUUCUUGUUAGUGUUGGGCAUCUCCCUCUCGUCCUAUUGUGGUAAGUUCACUGUCAAGUCUUGGAAGUUAGGGUUUUGCAAUCAUUCCAAUACCUCUAGUCUUGGCAGUUUCAUUAAGCCAUUCUGCUAUCAUUCUAGUUGUUAGUGAAGUGACUGCCAUUGUUGAUGUUCGAUCGUGUAACUGUAACAGGAUAAGAAAGAGACUAUUGCUGUGUCUUAUUAUAAAUGUUAUUAUAAAUGAUGUAAAUAAUAUAUAAGUAAAAAAUAUAUCUUAUUUUAUAAUAGUUAUAAUAACCUCUCCUAUUAAUAAAGAACCUUAGAUAAAGGGAUUCCUCCCAUUGACUGAAGUGAAGAGUCAACCUUCUACACAAGGUAAUCUUCUGAUAGAGGGGAAGAGGCAGAGCACAACCUGGCACAAGAUGCGCUGGUAUUGCAAAGGCAGGAAUGAGUUCACAAUGUUCGAAUAAGCUACUCAACUAACUAAAGCUAAAAGGAGAAAGGGAGAUGACUCUAGUUGUUGAGUACCCGGAGGAAGGUACCAGAUCGACUUCUAGUUGUAGCGGAUCUUACUUACAUCGGUUCUAGCGCUUUCUCUUGAUUCUAUUUUUGAAAGAUCUUUCCUUGCUCUGAGGAAUGCCCGGUUUAACCAGAAUUAUCUCGUUAGAACUUUAACUCCCUAUCUAUACUAUAACAUAACCUCGAGCCUCUUUCUUAUUUCUGUGCAGCAGGAAGCGAUUCGUUGAUUGAUGGGAUAAGCACGCUGUGGAAUCGAACCACAGUCUUUUUCCUUAUGUGGCGAAAGUCGAGAGUUAAAAUAUAGACUCGAAAGCAUACGCCUGUUAGAAGUGAUCCCCGCCUCCCUUUUUUGGAGUCAUCGUCUUUAAUUUUUCGCUUCAGAUCUGAAGCUGAUAGGCUUAAGGUUCUCACCGGAGGCCCUUGCCCUUAGUCUAUCGCCGGCCAAGUCCUAGGACUUGAUCGGUGUUUAGGCAGUGCUAAGAUCGUACGAUAUUUAAAUAUUUGAGCAGGAAUUUUUCCCAGGCUACGUUUUAGGGUGGUAAUUGGUUGCUUGGUCGAGCAGCUGCCCUUGGCAAGGAAGGAAAAGGAUGUCGCUUCUGAAAAGGAGGCGGAAAGCCGUAGAAGAGAUAGCAAGGACCAGGUACAGGGCACAUCAGGGACUCUCCCUCGCCUUGGAACCACCUUAGUCUUUUUGGGGAUCAAGAUCUUUGUGACUCUGCAGAACUUAACUUUUCUUAGAGGAUCAGCACGGCACAUUAUUCGGAUUCGGAGGUUUAGGUUUCAAACUUUUGGAGAGACAUAUUUUGUUAGGAAAGCCUUCUAUCGGCGGCGGGAGUCAACCAUCCGAGCGAGAGGUCAGACCAAUAAUCCCAUUCACCCUGGUCCAAUUCGAAUGGAUCUUGUUGAAUGAAUUGAUCCAUUGUUGUAUGCCUUACUUCUUAGUGCAUUUUUUCCUACUCGGACCCGCCGUACUUCCUUUGAGUACUGCUGAGAGAUAUAGUGGAAACAUUUUGUUAUGGUGGAGAGUGGAGAGUGAAAACACCAAUGCCUUUCUACCUAUGUUUUUGGUAUAAUAAUUGGCCAUACCAUCCUACUUAUUUCUUUACUCUGUACUGAGCAAGAAAAAACUGUACUGAUUAGCAAGCAGGAAAACUGUACCAAGAAUCUUACUCGAUCGAGUUCCCUUCUUUUCUCCCUGGGAGCCUACUCCAGUGCCCCAGUAGAGGUAGGCCCAGCCCAGGCUUGUGCAGUUAAGGUUGUUAUACAUGAUCUCAAAACAACAAAUAGGAAUGAAACGGCUAUAGUUCUUAUAUGAACUACUGGGAGGUCCCACUAUCUAAUAUAAAGAGUAGGCCACCUAAAAGAAGGUCUGAUUGAGCACUUUCUUCACCCGAUCUUAUGUCUGCAAGAUAAAGAUCAGACAUCACAUUACUUCCGCUAUUUGCAGAGAUGUCUUUGAAGUUGAAGGCAGGUGCCAAGUAAUAUGCUUACCUCGAUCAUUCAUUACAUAUGAUAUAUCGAGAGUUCAAGAUCAUAACGUAAUUCAUUUAGAGAAUGCCGAUGAGAAAGUAGAUCUGGUUCCGAGAUCUGGAAAACUGUGAAUACAGUUAGUGAAGCUAGACCGGGAAGUGGGGUAUCCCUGGAAAAGAAAGAGGUCUGAAGACUCGAUGGCUAUUAAGCCCAGUGAAUAACCUAAUUCAGAGAGAUAACCCGGUCUUUAGACACUCGCCCUACUUCUAAAGAUAGAUAGAAAAGGUUGGAGAGUCCCAGCUACUGAGGUGGCGUAGUGACAGGUGAGAGCAAUAAUAACAAAAGCAGCGGAAGAUCCUGCAGUAGUAUAUUCGGUUGUUUGCGGUGGAAUAGAAAAAAGCGUCCGGGCCAGUAGAUCCAGAGCAAAUAGGCGUUGACUUAGUUGACAUGUUUUCAUGUCUUCUACAUCUAUAACUAACAAGGAAUUAAUUGCAUUCUUGAAUGCUAUUCCAUUUCCACUCUCUUUGAGAGAGGUUACAAGAAAACCAUCAUAAAAAAUGCCACCUUACUGAACUUGAAUUUCACCCGAGAAUCGGGGGUAAAGGUGACUGAACUACUUUUUGUUAAUUUCUUCUAAUCUCCCAGGCGACCGAGUGCUCCAUGAAUAAUGAGCGCUUGCUGCUCCACCCGCAGCGCUUGUUGCCUCUCCUCCAAACCCUUUAUGCGCUCUCUGGUAGCGCGAAUGCGCGCUUCUAGGCCGAUUCUCACUUCUUCAACAAAAAAAUAAAAUAAGUACUUUCGCCGAGCUCUUAUACUCAAGGAAGAAGAAAAUGGUUUGACAUCGCUCCUGCAAGACAAAGACUUAAUAAAGAAGCGACGGAGAAAGAAAGAAGAAAGAUAAAUAAAAAUCCGCACUUUCUGCAGCAUGAGUUUAAAAGGCUAAAGUAAAAGGAAAGGGCCCUAACACCACCCACUUAUUACACUUCAAAUCCUCAAGGGAAAGAUAAAUCAUCAGAGACUGCGCUCACCAAAGAAAGACGCAGACACAUUCACCACUCAAGGGCAAAGAUCACAGCAGUACUUGCUAAAGUCCCCUAUCCUGAACGUGUGCUAUGUAGAAAGUAGUUAGCUGCUCCUCCUCGCCUAGGAGGGCCAAUUGAUUGACCGAUAGCAUGUGAAUUAGAAAGGCAAGCUAAACAAGCAAGUCAGCCCGUCUGUCUUCAACAAAGAAACUUAAAACGCAGGAACUCCGAUCGGUAAAUGAGCUACCCCUCUUAAGAUUAGGUCUCGCAUUCUUUCAUCGGGCUCUGGGUGAACGGAUCCUUUAAUUGACCUCGGGAACAUGAAGGGGGUAGGACGUAUGUCGAAAGGGACGGAACUCGUUCUGUACGGGAAGAAAAAGUAGCUAUGAAAAAACCCAUGCAUUUAUUUGAUGAUAACUCGAAGACGCUUUCAAGUGAGUGAACCCCUAAGGUAGUUCAGUGAUCUUCGUGAAUGAAACUAGUUCAAUGAACCUAUAACGCCUCCUUUUUCUUUUUUAGAAUUGUUCCAGUCUAAGGCCUAAUCCUUCCCAAAGGAUACAUGGAUGAGGAUCAAGACGGGUAUGCUUAAUGCAACUAUUCUAAGUUUCAGGUCAAUAACAAGGCCCCUUUUUUACUUCUUUUCCAUCCCUGCUUGGACCUGACAUUCAAUUAACAUUAGCAAGCCCUGUCGUCCUAAGUGAGUUAGAAUUCGAAUUAGAAUAAAAUAAGAGGGAGGAUUUUCUUGUGUGACACUAUUUCAAGCCAUAAGAUAGGGAAAUCUUUCCACUAAUUACACGGAUUGGAUUUCAUUUAGUACAACGAGUUCUUGCUCAAGGAAAAAUGUCCUAGGACUGCCUAAACACUUUAUUAGAAAAAAUAGAAAGAAACUCCGUUUUGCUUGUAUGACCGAAAAAAAAGUACUCCUAUUAAAUCGAUCUCUUGCAUCCAAAGUCUCUUUUUGUCGGGAGGCACACAUCUUCGUAAAGGCUGUGGCAUCUAUCGAAUUAUCUUUCUCACCGACUCGAGAAAUUCAAUUCAAGGGAAUCCUUAAUCGAGGCUUAGAUUCCAUUAUCUUAUGUUCAGUUAUAGAGGCUCAUCUUUCAUUGAUAGGAAUGCGGGUAUUUUACCCGCACUUGGCAUUCCAGACUUUUCUUGCACAAGCCAUUCUAAGAGCACCAUUCAAGCCUUAGCCUUUUCAAAAG
This 65039-nucleotide long non-coding RNA is filed under the name Gossypium barbadense (sea-island cotton). RNAcentral describes it as "long non-coding RNA (GBAR_LNC002580)". The stretch from base 58330 to 58401 matches the Rfam family "tRNA". Lineage: Eukaryota; Viridiplantae; Streptophyta; Magnoliopsida; Malvales; Malvaceae. The record is from RNAcentral.